This 69972-nucleotide long non-coding RNA is filed under the name Capsicum annuum. Its description in RNAcentral is "long non-coding RNA (CANN_LNC004218)". Lineage: Eukaryota; Viridiplantae; Streptophyta; Magnoliopsida; Solanales; Solanaceae. The record is from RNAcentral.
UCCCAUAUUUAUUACAACCAUACCAAUUAACAGGUUACUUGAAGAGAAUAAUAUUUUUUAGUUUGUUUAGAAAACAUACAAUUUCAUAAUAAAAACAGACAAAAGGUUAUUACUGAAGAAAUAGGGGAUUGAGAUCCACUUCACUAACAGACAAAGGGUUAUUGUUUGUAGUGAAGAGGUACGUAGACUCAUCUGAGAAAAAAAGAAUUUCAUCUCAUCCAAAUUAACUUUAAAUUUUUGCACAACAAUCAUGUUUUUCUUAGCAUUUCAAUAAAAAAUUAAUGAAUCAGACUAAAAUAUAGGUUCAAUUCAACUGUAAUCGACAAAUGCAAGUAACCAAAAAAUCUCUAAAGACUAAACAUAGCUAAAAAAGUUAAAACAAGAAUUAUAACGCAUUUCCAUUCAAAAUGUUUGAAUGAGAGAGGUUUUAAGAAAACCUUUGGCAAAAAGAUGAUUGUGAAAGUGAAAUCGGGUUAGAGAAAAUGAGUGAGUUGUGUUUGGGUUGUGUAAAAUUAUAUUGGAGAAAAUUUUCAUUUUAAUUAGGAAAAAAUCUAUUCAUGUAUAUGUUAUUUAAGAGUAAUUUUUCGACACGUGCUUUGCACGUAUAUGUCAAAUUAUUUAAUAUUUAACUUUAUAAAUAAUUUUCGUUCAUUUCUUGUUGCCACUGAAGGAGAUGGUAUAGGGUACCCGAAUUGGAACCUUGCCGCUGCCACAACUGCAUUUUCUGUCAAUUGAUGUUCCUUCCGCUGUUGUUGUUGGAGAUGAUAGUAGGGUAGCUACAUUGGGUACCCACCUUCUGUUGCUGCAUUCUCCGUCGAUUUUUGCGAUUUAUUCUUCAUUAUGUUUUAGAUAAAGGACGAUAAUUUCUAUGUUAACAAACACACACAUAGAGAGAAAUGGAAGAAGAGUAAUCCACUUGUUUUAUGCUCUUUUACUUAUGCGCUUUUUGUGCAAACUCACUAUUUUUAUCAGCUAAAUUUGUACUUAUCGGAUAGACAGGGGGAGUGAUGAUACAGAAAUAAUCACGGAUAUGGACUUAUGGGAGUGCAUUUUGGGUCCAAGAAUUGGUGUGUGCAAUUGAAGUGCAAAAGGAAACCUAAGUGCACUAAAAAUCAGCCAACAUAUUACACUUGAUGGGCACCUAAGUCUCUAAGGGGCCUUUUGGUCUUUUUGUAUUUUAUUUGUAACCAAAUAUAAAUAGAACAUUGUAAGGCUUUUAGACUUAGUUUAUUGAUGAUGUUGUAAGUCUUAAGACAUUGAAAAACACAAGUCCUCUCUUCUCUUUGGAGGCAAAACCGAAACUAGGAUACAAUAAUAGGGUGGAUUCUCUUUUAUUGUUGUUUGCUUGGAAACAUUGAUGCUUGGGAGGUGGAUUCCGAUCUUGUGUCUUUGUAAGAGAUAGGUUUAUUGUUGUGUGUAGUGUUAAGGGUCCAAGAUUGUCCAUUCUUGGGUUCUUAAGAUUAUACCUUCAUGUGGUCUAUCUAUCUAUCCUUUUACCUUCUUGUAAUCUUGUGUUCUUGUUGUUAUUGUUAAAUCCGAAUCUUGUGUCUUCUUUUUUAUCAUCUUAUGUUAAUCUUGUUCUUGUUUUUGUUGCUGUUUUGGUUUUAAAAUACACAUUUUAUCUUGUAUUUUUCUUGUUGAUAGAAAAUUCGAAAGUGGUCUCCAACUUGGUCCUCGGAUUCUUAAGAUUGUGGACUAAUUUGGAGUGUGUUUUGUGCCUUUCGUUGUCAUUCUUGUAUCAUUUGGUAUCAGAGCAUGGCUUGAUCUUGUUCCCACAAGAUCAAUCUUGGGCUUGUAAGUGGAAAAAAUAAAAAUAAAAAAGUGUUCAAAACUGAAAAUUUCAGAAAAAAAUAGCAAUCUGUUCGUGUUGUGUUCUUGGCCGAAAAGUGUGUUCUUGUAGUUUCUUGGCCGAGGUUUUUACUUGUAUUUGUUAUCUCUAAGUUUUAGUUUUGUUCCUCACUAACACGUUGAGUUUAUAUCUAGCUUUGAGCUUUAAAAAUUGAUGUUGUUGUUGUGAACAUAAGACUUGGACGAAUUGUUGUUGAAACAUUAUUGUGGUGGACUGUUUUGGCCUUGUGGUCUUCAUCAUUUUGUUGUUCUAAGCUUGGCCACAUGGUAUUUUUUCUCAUUGGUGGCCUAAGAACCAUCUUGUUGAAGUUGUAGUUGUCUUGGACAAGUGUUGAAGAUAUUGUAUUGUGAAAAUUGGAAGUUGGCCGUGUGAAAAUUGUUGGUGUUCUUGGAGAUUGUUGUUGGUUGUUCUUGGUGAUUGUUGAUUUUGUUCAUGGAUUUCUUCACAACCUUCAUAGCUUUUUAAAAUAAAGUGAACCUUAGAUCUAUAAAGGUGAAGGGAAAAAGGCAAAGCUUUGUUAGUCUUCAAAGACGUACCAUCACUCAUCAACUAGUCAAUCACAUCUCAACCACUUUCCAACAACUUUUCAUGAUUCAAGAACCCAUGUUUUAAGGAUAGUACAAGUCUAGUCAAAGACAUUUGAGUCUUGAAUUUUGAAUUGAAAAGAAGCUCCAAAGACUAGUUUGUAUUUCCCUUCAUUGAACAAGUUCCACCAAAGGUCCCAAAUUGAAAAUUGACCAAGACUUGAACUAUUGAAAUUAACAACUUGAUAAAAUCAAACCAAUACGUGACUGACACAUCACAUUUUACUGUUCACACGACAAAAUUUUAAGCUCAAAUUUUGAUCUUUUAGUUUCAUUGUGUUGUCUCUUUAGUUUCGUUUGUUGAUUCCAUUACUAACGUACGAGCUAGUACUAGAUUGUAAGUUAGUUUUGAAACCGUUAUUCGUGUUAACUUUUCUUUGUGUGUCUUAAUCCUUUGAAUCAUUGUAACGUCCUUGUGUUUUUUUUUUCCUUACUCUUUGGAGUUGUUUUUAACGUUGGAUUCACCUUGCAACACCUCUCGGAGUACAAGAAAGCUUUCAAUACUUGUGAGAUUGAGUGUGAGGGAUCCGAGAAACCCGAAAUAAAAGAGAGAGUGAGGAUGUUUUGUAUAACUAACGUAUUUUCUAUUUUGUAGGUAGCUUCUUCGCCACAAUGGAUACCAUUUUGGCCCACCUUGAUGCUAUUACCCGAGAAAUAGCUAAGGCGGAUGCGAGUCUUGACAAAUUAGGCUUGGAUAUGUCUACUAUACUUGAGAGGUUGGAUCGAGUGGAGAGUCGAAGGAAUUCUUAUGAUUCUACUUCCGAAGCUUUACCUCAAGCAAUCAAUCCUCCAAGACCACCACCAAAUGACAUAGACAUAAUCCAAGCCACCAAAUGUCCUCCAACCCGAGACCUACAUAGGUCUAUCCCUCUUCCAUUCGAUCAAGUCCAAAAAAUUGACUCAGAAGUCAAAUCUCUCCCGUCCAAGCUCCACAACCGAAACUCCACUUUACCAAAUCAAUCCUCUCAACCGAAAUUCCACUUCACUAAAGCCGACAUGUCUAUGUAGAGGAGAAUGAUAGAAAGGAACAUGACGGAUAUGGAGUCUACGACGAUGCUUGUAUCAUGAUAGGAGACUUGUUUCUGAUGAGAUUGAAGACAAGGCUCAAGAUGGAGAGGAAGCCGAGAUUCAAAAUUAAGAUGUUGGCCAAGACUUUUGUUAAUGUUUUUCGGGCUGUUUUGAGUAGUUUAUUUUAAAGUGGCUGAUUGAACAAGGUGAAGCCGUAAAUUUGUGGACAAAUUUCUCUCAAGAUGGAGAGGAUGAUACGGGAAUAAUCACGGACAUGGACUUAUGGGAGUACAUUUUGGGUCCGACACUUGGUGUGUGUAAUUGAAAUGCAAAAAGGAACCUAAGUGCACAAAAAAUCAGUCAACAUAUUACAUUUGAUGGGCACCUAAGUCUCUAAGGGGUCUUUUGGUCUUUUUGUAUUUUAUUUGUAACCUAAUAUAAAUAGAACAUUGUAAGGCUUUUAGACUUAGUUUAUUGAUGAUGUUGUAAGUCUUAAGACAUUGAAAAACACAAGUCCUCUCUUCUCUUUGAAGGCAAAACCGAAACUAGGAUACAACAAUAGGGUGGAUUCUCUUUUAUUAUUGUUUGCUUGGAAACAUUGAUGCUUGGGAGGUGGAUUCCGAUCUUGUGUCUUUGUAAGAGAUAGGCUUAUUGUUGUGUGUAGUGUUAAGGGUCCAAGAUUGUCCAUUCUUGGGUUCUUAAGAUUAUACCUUCAUGUGGUCUAUCUAUCUGUCAUUUUACCUUCUUGUAAUCUUGUUUAUUGUUUGUGUUGUAAUCUUGUGUUCUUGUUGUUAUUGUUAAAUCCGAAUCUUGUGUCUUCUUUUUUAUCAUUUUAUGUUAAUCUUGUUCUUGUUCUUGUUGUUGUUUUGGUUUUAAAAUACACAUUGUAUCUUGUAUUCUUCUUGUUGAUAGCGAAUUCGAGAGUGGUCUCCAUCUUGGUCCUCAGAUCCUUAAGAUUGUGGACUGAUUUGGAGUGUAUUUUGUGCCUUCCAUUGUCAUUCUUGUAUCAAGUGAGGUCCACCACAUUUAUCAGUGAUAGACAGAACCUCAAUUCUUUAAUUAAGUCGGUAGCUAGUGGAAUUAUCAGACGAAAAAAUGGGCUCACCCUCAUUCAAUUUCCUUGUAUUGCUCGAAAAGAACAACUUCUCAAUGGCCGAAAACAUGAUGAAUUGAACACGAAAAAAGGUUCAAUUCAAUUGUAAUAAAGAGACUAUCCAAAUUCUAUAAAGUUAGAUACAAAAAAUCGAAUAGACAGUAAAAACCAAAUAACAACCAAUAAAUAAAAUGUUGAACCGAAAGAAAUUAGGCUAACAUUCUUGUUUUUGUUAGCAUUUCAAUAAAAAAAAUAAUGAAUCAGACAAGAAUAUAGGUUCAAUUCAACUGUAAUCGACAAAUAAAAGUAACUAACCAGUCUCUACAGACUAUAACAAAGUUAAAAAAUGUUAAACCUUAAAUGAUAAUGCAUUAGUAUUCAGAAAGUUUGAAUGCAAGAUGUUAUGUAAAAACCUUUGAAAAAAAGAUGAUUGUGAAAGUGAAAUCGGGUUAUAGUAAAAAUGAGUGAGUUGAGUUGGAUAUGUGUGUGUUGGGUUGUGUAGAAUUAUAUUGAAGAAAAUUUUAAUUAGAAAAAAUAUAUUCAUGUAUAUGUUCAUGAAUAUGGCAAAUCAUGUAAUGUAGAAUUUUAUAAAUAAUUAUAGUUCAUUUGUUGUUGCAGCUGAAGGAGAUGGUAAUAGGUUACCCACAUUGGUACCCUAUAGCUGCCACAACUGUAUUCCUCGCCACUUGAUGUUUCUGUUGUUGCUGCUGUUGGAGAUGAUAGUAGGGUAACUUCAUUAGGUAUCCACCUCCCACUGUUGCAUUCUCCGCUGAUUGUUGCGAUUUAUUCUCCAUUAUGUUUUUAAAUGAAGGGCAAUAAUUUCUAUGCUAACAACUACACACGAAGAGAGAAAUGAAAGAAGAGUAAUCAACUUCUGUUGUGCUCUCUUACUUACUUAUGUGCACCCACUAUUUUUACCAAUUAAAGAUGUACUUAUUACCGGAUAAACGGGACAUUAGUAACAAACGAAACCUUAUUUCUUUGAUCGAGGUGGUAGCUGGUUGAAUCAUUUGAGGGAAAAAAGCCUCAUCCUCAUCCAAUUUUUUGUAUUGCUCAAAAAGAACAACGUCUCACAACCAAAAAAAUCAUGAAUUGAACUCGAAAGAGGUUCAAUUAAACUGUGAUAAAGAGACAAUUCAAAUUCUAUAAAGUUAAAAUACAAAUAAUUGCAUAAGCGGUAAAGAAAACAACUAUUAAAUAAAGUGUUGAACCGAAGGAAAUUAGCACAACAAUCAUGUUUCUAUUAGCAUUUCAAUAAAAAAUUAAUGAAUCAGACAUGAAUAUAGAUUCAAUCAACUAUAAUCAACACAUACAAGUAACCAAACAAUCUUCAAAGACUAACACAUAGCUUAAAAAGUUAAACUUUGAAUUAUAACGCAUUAGCAUUUAGAAAGUUCGAAAGCAAGAGGUUUUAAUAAAACCUUCGAAAAGAAAUGAUUGUCAAAGUGAAAUAGAAUCAGAGUAAAAAUGAAUGAGUUGGGUUGAAUAUAUGUGUGUGUGUUGGAUUGUGUAGAAUUAUAUUGAAGCAAUAAUUAAUUUUAAUUAGAUAAAAAUAUUCACGUAUAUAUUAUUUAAGACUAUUUUUUUGACACGUGCAAAAUAUGUCAAAUCAUGUAAUAUAUAAUUUUAUAAAUAAUUUUAGUUUAUUUGUUGUUGACACUGAAGGAGAUGGUAAUAGGGUACCCGCAUUGGUACCCCGCCUUUGCCGCAGUUGCAUUCUCUGUCAAUUGAUGUUACUGUUGUUGCUGCUAUUGGAGAUGGUAGUAGGGUACCACAUUGGGUGCCCACCUCCUGUUGUUGCAUUCUUCGUAGAUUAUUGUAAUUUAUUCUUUAUUAUGCUUUAGACGAAGGACGAUAAUUUCUAUGUUAACAAACACAUAGAGAGGGAGAAAUGGAAGACGACUAAUCUACUUGUGUUGUGCACUCUUACUUGUGUUCACUUUGUGUGCACUUACUAUUUUUACCAACUAAUUUUGUACUUAAUACUGGAUAAACCUAGGGGAGUGAGGUCCACCACAUCAUUAACAGACGAAACCUUAUUUUUUGAUCGAGGCGAUAGGUGGUGAAACUAUUUGAGGAAAAAAUGCCUCAGCCUCAUCUAAUUUUUUGUAUUGCUAGAAAAGAGCAACUUCUCAACAACCAAAAAAAAUCAUGAAUUAAAUUCGAAAAGAAGUUCAAUGUAACUGUGAUAAAGAGGUGAUCCAAAUUCUAUAAAGUUAAAUAUAGAUAAUCGAAUAGCCUGUAAAGACAAAAUAACAACUAAUAAAUAAAACAUUGAACCAAAAGAAAUUAGCACAACAAUCAUAUUUGUGUUAGCAAAUCAUGUAAUAUAUAAUUUUAAAUGAUAUGGCACUUGCUUUGCAAGUAUAUGGCAAAUCAUAUAAUAUAUAAUUUUAUAAAUAGUUAUAGCUCAUUUAUUGUUGCAGUUGAAGGAGAUGGUAAUAGGGUACCCACAUUGGUACCCUAUAGCUGCCACAACUAUAUUCUCCACAAUUGAUGUUCCUGUUGCUGCUGCUGUUGGCGAUGGUAGUAAGGUACUUGCAUUAGGUACUCACCUCCCACUGUUGCAUUCUUCAUUGAUUGUUGUAAUUUAUUCUCCAUUAUGCUUUAGACGAAGAAUGACAAUUGCUAUGUUAACAAACAUAAACGGAGAGAGAGAAAUGGAAGAAGAGUAAUCUACUUGUGUUGUGCUCUCUUACUUGUGCACAUUCAUUAUUUUUACCAACUAAAUUUGUAGUUAUUACCGGAUAAACAGGGGGAGUAAGGUCCACCACAUCAGUAAAAAAUGAAACUUCAUUUCCGUGAUCGAGGCGGUAGCUGGUGGAAUUAUCUGAGGAAACAAUGCCUCACACUCAUUCAAUUUUUUGUAUUGCUCGAAAAGAACAACUUGUCAACAACCAAAAAAAUUAUGAAUUGAACUCAUAAAGAAGUUCACGUAUAUGUUAUAUAAGACCAGUUUUUUGACGCGUGCUUCACACGUGCAUGUCAAAUCAUGUAAUAUAUACUUUUAUAAAUAAUUUUAGCUCAUUUGUUUUAACUGCUGAAGGAGAUGGUAAUAGGGUACCCACAUUGGUACCCUCGUCGCUGCCGCUGCUGUAUUCUUUGUCAAUUGAUAUUCUCGUAUUUGCUGUUGUUGGAGAUGGUAGUACGCUACCUGCAUUGGGUAUCCCGCCGCCACCAUCUUUGCUGCAUUCACGACAUUCUCUGCUGAUCAUUUCGAUUUAUUAUCCAUUGUGCUUAGGCGAUAAUUUCUAUGUUUGCAACCAUAGAGUGAGAAAAUGGAAAAAGAGUAGCCCAGUUGUGUUGUACGCUCUUACUAUUUGUACAAACUAAAUUUGUACUUAUUACCGUAUAAACAGGGAGAGUGAGGCCAACACAUCAGGACGAAACCUCAUUUCUAGUCCGUAACCUCAUUUCUCUAUAAGUGGUAGCUGGUGAUUAACUCUUUUUUUUUUUUGAUAAAUUACUUUUUUUCUUUUCCUUUAUUGGGUUAAUUUUUAUUUACUAUUUUCUUUAUUUUUAUUUUUAUUUUUUUUCUUUUCUUCAAUUAUUUUUUUCUCGUGUUACAUACUCCAUAACUUGAAUUUUUUAUUUUUUUUGUUUUGUUUUUAUUUCCUCCUAAUUUUUAUUUGUAAGUGAAUUAAAAAAAUUCUGUCACUCGACCAUGUUAGCUUUUCUGUUAGUGUAAGAAAAAUUAGAUAUUGAAAAUUUGAAAUUGAAUCUCAUAAAUAAUAAAUUUAUCUUUUGAGUCUAUAUGAUAUUGUUUAUUAUGAUUUAAUAUUAGUAUUAAAGAGAUUUCUAAUAUUUAGAAAUUAAAGAAUCAUCAUAUUCUUUUUAUUAUUAAUGGCAUCUCUUAUAUUACAAAAUUUAAAGCUAGUAGAGUCAAGAAAUGAAUCAAAUUUAAAUCGACUGGAUUCUAAAUAAAUCUAAAUAUUGAUUUUAAUUUUUUUGAUAUCCUUUUCCUUAAAUUUUAGAGUUGCUCCAUCAUUAGAUAGACACCAAAAUAAAAACUAAAAUAUCUUUUAAUUGGUCAUAAACUAAAAAUACGUAAAAUAUAUUAAAAUAUUCUUUACUUUUUGUAAUUUUAAACAUGUCAUGUGAUAAGUUAAAAUUAAAAAUUUUCAGAAAAUGAAAAAUACAUUUUUUUCAAAUGGACUUGUAAAAAAGUGACACAAAUAAAAUUAAAUAAAAAAUAUACUAUAUAAAUUUUAUUUGGUUACAAAUAUCUACAAAUAAGAACUUAGGAGGAAAAAAGCCCAUCAAUUUGAUCAGUUUCAUGAUCACGAAAAAGAUUGAAAAGAAAAAGUAAAAAAAAAGUAAAUAAAAAUUUCCCCCCCUUCCCCCCCCCCCAAAAGCAAAAAAUGAGUUGUUAAAAUAAAAAAGAAUAUGAAGAAGAGGGUUGUGUAAAAUUAUGUUAGAAGAAAUUUUAAUUUUAAUUAGAAAAAAUAUAAUCACAUAUAUGUUAUUUAAGACUUUUUUUUGACACGUGCUUUGCACGUGUAUGUCAAAUCAUUUAAUAUAUAAUUUUAUAAAUAACUUUAGUUCAUUUGUUGUUGGCACUGAAGGAGAUGGUAAUAGGGUACCCACAUUGGUACCCCUAUCCCUGCCACAACUGCAUUCUCCACCAAUUGAUGUUCCCGAUGGUUGUUGGAGAUGGUAGUAGGACACCUACAUUGGGUACCCACCUCCCGCUAUUGCAUUCUCAGUCGAUUGUUGUGAUUUAUUCUCCAUUAUACUUUAGACAAAGGACGAUAAUUUCUAUGUUAACAAACACAAACAGAGAGAAAUGGACGAAGAGUAAUCUGCUUGUGUUGUGCUUUUUUACUUGUGCAAUUUUUGUGCGCACUCAUUAUUUUUAUCAACUAAAUUUAUUCUUAUUACUGGAUAAACGCGGGAGGGGGGGGGAGGUGAGGUCCACCACAUUAGUAAUUAGUAACAGACAAAACUUCAUUUCUUUGAUCGAGACGAUAGCUGGUGGAAUCAUCUGAGGAAAAAGCGCCUCACCCUCAUCCAAUUUUUUGUAUUGCUCGUAAAGAACAACACUGCUCAACAGCCAAAAAAAAAUCAUGAAUUGGAACUCAAAAGAGGUUCAAUUCAAUUGUGAUAAGAGAUGAUCCAAAUUCUAUAAAGUUAAAUACAGAUAAUCGAAUAAACUGCAAAAGCUAAAUAACAACUAAUAAAUUAAAUGUUGAACAGAAAGGAAUUAGCACAUCAAUCAUGUUUUUGUUAGCAUUUUAAUAAAAAUUAAUGAAUCGAACAGGAAUAUAGGUUCAAUUCAACUGUAAUCGACAAAUGAAAGUAACCAAACAAUCUCUAAUGACUAAAACAUAGCUAAAAAGUUAAAACCUUGAAUUAUAACACAUUCAGAAAGUUUGGAUGCAAGAGGCUUGAUGAAAACCUUUGAAAAAAAAUGAUUGUGAAAGUAAAACCCUGUUAGAGUAAAAAUGGAUGAGUUGAGUUGAAUAUAUAUAUAUAUAUAUAUAUAUAUAUAUAUAUAUUGGGUUGUGUAGAACUAUAUUGGAGAAAAAUUUUAUUUUAAUUAGAAAAAAAUAUAUUCACGUAUAUGUUAUUUAAAACUAGUUUUUUGACACGAGCUACGCACGUGUAAGACAAAUCAUGUAAUAUAUAAUUUUAUAAAUAAUUUUAGUUCAUUUGUUGUUGCCGCUGAAGAUGGUAAUAGGGUACUCACAUUGAUACCAUGACAACUACAUUCUCCGCAAUUGAUGUUCCUGCUGCUGCUGGAGAUGGUAGUAGGGUACCUGCAUUGAGUACCCAUUUCUCGCUGUUACAUUCUCCGUCGAUUGUUGCGAUUAAAUUACAAUUUUCCUUUUUUAGUAUGAAUUAUGAUUCAAAGUAAAUCUUAAAAUGCUGGUCAAAGCUUGUAUUAUUUGACUUUAAAAAGAAAAAUCAUUCCAACUAAAAAAGAACGAAGAAAAUAUUUGUUUGGAAAACACGCAAUUCCAUAUAAAAUAAAAACACUAGUUGCAUUCAAAGAUAAUAGAUGAAAAAUAUUCAAAAUUUUGUUUCACGUUUCUCGUUUCUUUCCGAGAAUUACAAGUCACUUUUGUAUUAUUUUGAGUUUGUUUGAUCUUACAGAAGAGAACACAAAUCGAUUGGUCUUUUUUCAUACCUCGUAGGUCUACCAAAGUUAUUUUGCAACCAAACAAAUUAGCAAACCUCUUUGAUUAAACUUAAAUGUAUCGAACUUGUUUUAUUGUGGUGUUUGUAUGUACCACGACUAAUGUAAUUGUUAAAUUCACCCGUACCUCCACUACCUCGUUAAAUUUAGAACUCGAAAUCAAAAUGAGCCACGAAAUUAAAAAAAAAAAAAUGAUCAAAAUAGAUCACAAAUUACCAAAAUAGGAGUUCAGAACCAAAAUAUGUCAUUAAACUAAAAAAAAUACCAAAAUAGAUCAUGUUUUUAAAGUGAUACCAGAAUAUGCUUAACUCUCUUAAAAAGAGAAUUAUAUGUAUUAUUUUUAACGAAAAUGAGCAAAUGAAGUUAAGUUUCAGAAAAUAUACAUAACUCACUUAAUAAGUGAGUAAUGCAUUUUUUUUAACAUCUCUUUUUUUUUACAUAACUCUCUACUAAAGAGAGAGUAAUGCGUUUUAAGUCACACAACUUGUUUAAAAAGAGAGUUAUGCAUUAUUUUCUAUACAUUUUUUCUACAUGACUUACUUAAAAAGUGAGUUAUAUAAUAAAAAUUACACAAUUUGUUUUUUUCCUCUACGUAAAUAUAAUAAAAUUUAUAUCACUCACUUUAUACAAAAUUAUGUGAACAAUUAAUUUAUCUUCUAAAGUUUUAUUUUUUAAAAAGAAGAUUAACUAUUACGAAACGGAGAGAGCAAAACUCACUGAUUAUGUGAGUUAUUCAAAUAUAAAAUAAGUUAAAAAAAUGAGUUAUCCAUUGAAUAUAGCUCUUAAAAUACGUGUGAUAAGUGCAUAACUUUAUUAGUGAUAUGAAAUAUGAAUAUGGUGCGAAAAAUAUAUGAGUUGUGCAAAAAGUUGAUAUGUUCAUAAAAAACGUUUGUCAGUCAUAAAAGUACCACUAGAAAAAAUGUAAAAUUCACAAAAAAUGAGUUAUCCUUCUUAUUUCUAUAAAACACUGUUUUUAAUUAUUUUAAACUUCGCGCAAAACGUAAGAAUUUGUUACGUUUUAUAUAUUUUUUUGAUAAAACGUAAGAAAUUAUUACGUUUUACAAAUAAAUAUGUGAUAAGUGCAUAACUUUAUUAGUGAUAUGAAAUAUGAAUAUGGUGCGAAAAAUAUAUGAGUUGUGCAAAAAGUUGAUAUGUUCAAAAAAAACGUUUGUCAGUCAUAAAAGUACCAUUAGAAAAAAUGAAAAAUUCACAAAAAAUGAGUUAUCCUUUUUAUUUCUAUAAAACAUUGUUUUUAAUUAUUUUAAACUUCGCGCAAAACGUAAGAAUUUGUUACGUUUUAUAUAUUUUUUUGAUAAAACGUAAGAAAUUAUUACGUUUUACAAAUAAAUAUGUAAAACGUAAUAAUUUCUUACGUUUUUUAAAAAGUUAACUCCGUUAGUUGACCGUUAAGAAAAAAAUGAAAAAGGUAAUAAAUUAUUACGUUUAGCCUAUUUUGAUAAUUUUUUAAAUAGAUGGCCUAUUUUGGUCACUUUUUUUAUUUCGUGGCUCAUUUUGGUUCCAAGUUCUUAAAUUUAGCCAAAGAAGGGACUUCACCAUCUCAAAUCAAAUCAAACGACCAUACAAGUGAAAAGUACUAAAAGAGAUCUCAUUUCUUCUAAUCAAUUUAUAUAAGUGAUCAAGAGAUCUCAUUUCCUCAUGACACAAAUUGGAGUAGGAAACACAUCCAUGAUUGGACUAGGAAUUCAAAACGAGAUCAAGAUGUUACCAUAUGAUCGUCAGCAGAUAAUCACAUGAUUGAAUCUCCCCUUCCAAACGGGCAAGCUAGACCACCUCACUGGAAGACCGCAAAUUGGGUAACCCAUACCUGUUAAGGCGAGCCAAAAAAAAGCAAAUGAAAGAACGCGCCAAAAGUAGGAAGAAAUAGAGAACUAGAGACUUGGUCCCAGUUACGAAUACUGAAGUUCGCACAACCUAAUCAACCAGAAAAUAACCAGAAAAUCAUCAGACGCAAGAGAGAAACCUAACCUCCUUUCCUAGAAGCUGACAAGGUAUGAGCAUAAUGGGAGCAGAGUUAUUCCAUCUAGAAAAUUUUAGUACCCAAUUAGAAUACCUUCAAACAACAACAAUCUUAGCGAAGCUCCAAUAAUAUUGAACCGCUGGACUCACUGAAAGGUUCCAUUAUAGCAAGAAAUUUGCACCUACAGAAAAGAGCAACUGCAUUCAAAAUCAGAGACGCAUACCCUUGCAUCCAUAACAGAACAGAUCAUACCUGGGUAGAAUCCCCAUAGGAGAGAGUACCUGGCUAAGAACCACCGUAGGAGAGCAAUAGUAAGAUUGGUAGAUGAAGUAGCAUGUCCAAACCACUGCUCCAGUGCAUUGCUCGAAUUUCCAGAACGCAUCACUUUCCCAAAUCAUAACAAGAGAAAAUAGUAACAAAAUGUCCCUGACAGAAAAAGAAACCCAAAUGCAAUCAAGCCGUGUCAAAAUUCAUUAGCUUCACCAAUCACGUCUGUAGCUACCAAGCAAAACAGAAAUAAUCACAAAUCAUUUUCCAUGACAGACCCCAAAAAGAACUCCAAAUGUGAUCGAGCGGGCUAAAUUCCAUACCUUCACCAACCAUAUCUACAAUUAUUAAGUAGAAGAGAAAUAAUCACAGCAUUUUAUGAACUUUUCAACACCUGAACUCAUGCUUGAGUACCCAAAAGAUUCCACUAAACCAAUUGAUCCAAUUGCAAAAGGGGAACUUAUAUCCCACAAUGAAGAGGAAAUAUCACAUCACGAACCCCAAGAAGGAAGACAUAAUAAACAAGAUGCUGAAGGAAAAUAAAAAUGUUGAGCUAAAAACCACAACCAGGUCAAUGAAAGACGACAAGAAUUUUCCCUGUUAGUACUCCCCGUUGCCAUCUUUAAAUUGACAUCCUAAGUCAGACCAACAGACGAAACUUCUAAAUUGUUCCUUUUAAAAAUCAACAUAUAACUUUUCUGAGAGCUUAUAACUAGAGGUGCAUUAUCCACACCCAAUAAUAACAUCAAUUAACUUUUCAUGUGUUCUACUCCUGAAUCGUAAUUUAAAUCAAUCUGAGAGUGAUAGAUAAAGGAUCACAGGAAAAAGUAACAGUACCACAAUCUCACGGAUUAAAGCAGCUCUUAGACAUUAGCAAUCCCCAGUAGUCCCCAACAACUUUAUACCUGGAAUCAAAGUAACAGCACUGAACAAAUGUGUUAUUUUGAGCACCUCGACAAAAUAACAGCAGCUCAUACUUUUGUGGGAACAAAAGAAAAAAGGAAACCAUCUUAACAUAUAGAUUCCGGCAACUGCAAGCAGAGAAAGCAAGGAUUAGUAAUGCGUGCAAAGAUCAGAGGAAUUCUAUCUAACCACAAAUAAAUUGAUCAGAUUCAGACAUGAAGAGCAAGACAGAGAGGAGUUGGGGGGCGGAGGGAGGAAUAACUAUCCCAUUCUAGAAGCUGACUUCUGGAGCACCAAAAUAUAUCUCUUGCAAGAAGUAUGAUUCAAUACCUGACAUUUUUUGCUUUGAAUUUUACAAGAAGUUAUGCUAACUAGUUGACCAAGUAGAAUAUUCAAAGCUGUCUCACUGGAGUGUGCAGCUUGCCUAGAUGUAAGCAUAGGGCUGCAUACUAUUUGCACCUAUCUUCUUAAAAACAUGAUCCUGAUAAAUGCUUACUCUAACUCCAAGGCCAGAAUAACCAGUUUGUACUAAAUUUGAAGCUGUAGGAAGCUUCACACUUGAAGCAGAAGAUAUUAGCGGUAGGAUAGUUUAUACCCUGCUGCUUCUGGUGGAAGACCAUGGAAAAGAUGAAGCUUGACUUUCUGAGGGCGCAUAUUCACAAAAAUUCUAUGGAGAAGAACGGUCUUUUGACUAUUCAAACCCUAGAAAACAAACAUUACAAAAACAAAAAACUUGAAAAACGAAAAUAAUCCCAUAAAAGAAAAAAGUGUACUAGUAUACAAAGUAACGACGACUUGAAAAGAGAAAGGCAAGCCAGAUUAAGUGUGAAACUAUAAGUUUUAUUGCAUUUUUCACGGAUAAUAUGAAUUAAUGCACUAUCCGGUUUCCGUGAACACCAGAAAAGCACAAAAAGAAGGAACCCAUGAAAGGUUCUGAACUUCACGGAAACUAAACCUAACUAGAAAUAAGAAAAAGGUAUGGAUAUAACAGAGGGGAACUUACAACAAUGUCUAUCAUUAUAUUGUUCGAUCCAUUGAAUUAACUGUAUUAAAACUUCUAAAUCUAACCAUGGUACUAUUCCUUCUAAAUGAAAUAAUUGCAUAUCACAUUCCAAAUCUAACCAUGUUUAUUGAGAAUCUCCAAUUUCUAUCCUUCCCAAAAAAAAGAAGCUCCAUUUUCUUAUUUCCAAGAAAAACAGAUGAGUUUCAUCAAUAAGCCAAAUUUAAAGGACUAAGGACAAACGGAAGAAAGAAUGGACAUGCUUUCUUAGCUUGUCUAUGAAUAGCAUAAGCUUCUUAUUCAGAAACAUAAGAAACUUCUCAACAAUCUUCCUGUUGGAUGGAAAAGAAAAAUUGAACGUCGUGCAACAUGUGGAAUAUUUAGGAAGCCUAAAACAAAACCAAAUUGAUGGAGAAGUUGAAAUUAACAUUUUCGGUACAACAGGACAUAGUAAUGACAAGAUCAGGACACUUGCUCCAGACACAAAAUAAAUGCAUCCUCAUUUCUGAACUUUUUCUCCAAUCAUGUGCCGAAAUCUAUAGGAAACCGGUCAGGCAAUCAUGGGCAAGCGACAAGCUGAAAUACCAAUCUUUUGAAAACCUAAAUUACAGUGGCACGAAAAGCAAUUCUCACCAUCAUUCAAGUUUUCUGAGCACAUAUAUAGUAACUGAAUCCCCACUUUGUGGGAAUACACUGGGUUUGUUGUUGUUGUUGUUGUUGUAUAUAUACUAACUGAAUAUGUUAUUAAACCUCAGAUGCAUCUCUUCAUGCUCAUUUCAUGCUUGAAGUACCAUUUGUACAAAUAAGUUAAUUUAUACAUAUUACUCAUGUGAUCUAUUUUUUUGACCCUAAAAAAAACCUCAAACCAAACUUUUUACGGUUGGCUAUAUGAUUCUUUUUAUCAAUUAUUUUCUAUGAAACUAAAGUAAAAUUCGACAGCUUCAAGAGACAUCUUAAAUCUUCAUUCUUAAACCAUUCUAAUUUAAGAUUCAGAAAAUUUACUUCCUUUAACAGAAGUUACAUAAAUUGAGAUAGACACAUCAAAAAGGCAUUUUUUUCUUCUUAGUAAAAACAUUCACCACAGAAUCUAGAACGGUUACUCACAAUCAAAGCUUCAAAAACCAAAAAAAUUAAUCACUCAAAUAGACUUUAAAGAUGUAUUAUUAAAAGUAUCUAUAUGAACAUUUUAAAGCCUCGAUUAAACAUAGCAGGACAUGAAUUCAGCUAGACAACUAAAUUCGUCUUAACUCCAAAGUCAUCUAGCAACACAAAUUAAAAUUAAAAAGGAAAGGGUUAUAUAUACAUGAUCACAAACACACACACACGCAAAUAUAUAACAUGUAUAUAUAAACCAAUGCAGAAAUCAACUUCUUCAACAGAACAAAUGCAGAAAACAGUUACAGCAAUCCAACUGACGCCAUGCAUGAAACAAAGCAGAAGCAUUUGAUUAAAAAUAGUUUACCUGCAAAAGGAAGCAGUAAUAAAGCGCAUGGAGAGAGUCACUGCUGAAUUUCCAACCAAAAGAAUUUCCUAUACGACAUACUUUAAGCCGAUAGGGUUAGUAACAAAUUUAAUCCCACUAUACCUACCGAUCACGUGUUCAAUAGGCAUUAGCAUGACCAAAUUACUUGUUGAACAAGCAUGUGAACUACAUAAAAAUCUGUGCGAGUUGGAACACUUUCCGUACUUCACACCACCGAUAAAGACAUCAGAUAUCACUUAUCAGUUGUUUCUCACGAUAAUAGAUAAUGACUACGGAUGACAUAUCCCAAGCCUGCAUGGAUAAUCAUUGCAUUGGUAAGAAUUGAAACUUAUGCUUUCGCUCCAUCUUGGCAUCAACACCCAAUAAAGGUUACCACUAUGAAAGCUUGUAUCUCCGAAAGAGAAUCAAUCAUCACCUUCUUUGCAGUACAGAGUAUCAAACAGUCGUGUGAAAGCAGAUCGAUCUAUUUUCUAAAUUUGGAUGCCCACAAAAUCCAGAUAUGCCAAAUCAUUUCCUCCAAUGAUGCAAAAUAUAGAAGUAAUUGAUAAAAGUCUAGACUCAGGCCUGUACAUUCAAUCCUAUCUCCAUACAUCAAUGUGAGAUUGCACAAAAGAUUUAUGUUUUUAUAAGUGAAGCACAGAAUUGUACAAGUACUUCACUCGAUUUAGUUAGGAUUGCCCUAAAUGCAAGUCUUGCUUAGAUAACAUUCCGUUUGAGCGGAGGACCUAUCAGAAACCGGCCCUCUACCCUUUCCUGUCUUCCCCGGUAUGUUGUUGUUGCCUAAAUGCAAGAAGACAAACAUAUAAAAAGCGAAAACAUUUGUAGCUACCACCUGAUAGAAUGAAACUAAAACAAAGAACAAACAUUGUAAUUUUAACAACAAACCUAGUCUCAACUUCUGAGGAAAAAGAAGACAGUUACCACCUUUAACGAAAAUGGAACAAAGCAAUUCGAUUUGACAAAUUUUAUGACAAGGUUACCUUUAACCAUCGACGUUAUGCUGUGCACUGCUCCCUCCGCUGACAUUGAUAUUAUCCUCAGCAUCCUGCCACCGUCCACUGUUCCCUCCGCUAGCAUUGAUAUUAUCCUCAGCAGCUUGCCACCGUCCACUGCUCCCUCUGCUAGCAUUGAUAUUGUCCUCAGCAGCUUGCCACUAUCCACUUCUCCCUUUGCUAGCACUGGUAUUAUCCUUAGCAGCCUGCCACGCCUGACGCUGGAUGUAGACAAAUGGAAAAACCUUAGGCAUAACGGUCCUUCGAAUCAUCACUUCAGACGGAGCAGUCUGCCCCAUGGGUGGAUAGAAGUUUUGAACACCACUUGUUGCAAUCCUUCUAAUCAUCGCCUUAGAUGGAGCAACAGUCUGUCCUAUGGGCGGAUAGAAGUUCUGAACACCACUUGAUGUGGAGCCAAGCAUGCUGGGCCCAAAACCAGUACCCUCUUCCCUGAUCUCAUCCUUAAGAACAAUGUCAACCAGGAAAUAAAAAAUUUCAAUCCGCUCAAUAGCCUUGGUGAUAUCCUUCUACUGCAACAUCCGUCUUUUGUUCUCCUCCGUGUUAAACCAGGAGCGGAAAGCAAGUUCUUGCAUGAACAUUUCACAUUCUUUAGCAAACAACAUUGGUGCUUCCGCGGUGACCUUGGAUACACCCUCGUUAUAUAUCAUCAUCUGUUGAUACGAGCAAGCGGAAAUUUGUUGUUCUUGAAAUCGUUCAUCUCCUUGAUUUCCUUGAGUUGUAACGCCCAAAACGCCUCCAUCUGCUGCUGCUGAAGGAGUUGGUAGUAGGGUACCGGCAUUCGGUACGCUGCCGCCGCCGCUGCUAAAUUCUCCGUCAAUACUGUUCCUGCUGCUGAAGUAGAUGGUAGUAGGGUACCUGCAUUGGGUACCCAGCUAUCGUCGCUGCAUUCUCCUCACAUUGUUGAGAUUUGUCCUCCAUUAUACUUUAGACAAAGGAAGAUAAUUUAUAUGGAGAAAAUGGCCGAAAAAGCAGGUCGGAAUGAAAAUAGGUGAUUUGAGCUAGAUAACAUGUUGAGUUGCGUAGACGACUCAUAGUGGAGAAAAUUUUGAUUUUAAUUAGAAUAAAAUAUAUUUGUGUAUGUUAUUUAUGAUUAAAGUUUUUCGGCACUUCCAUUGCACGCGUGUGCCAGUCAUGUAAUAUUUAAUUUUAACAAUUGGAUUUACAAGUCAAACUGGUAUUAUUUUGUACCUGUUUUAUCUUACAUUUCGUUUUACAAAACUAAAAUGUAGAGGUUAUUUUUGUAAAUAAAUAUUUAUAAAAACUAUACAAGAAAUAUCAUUUCUAAUACAUCAAACCAAACAACGUAGAGGGUAUUUUUAUAAACAAAUAUUUAUAAAAACUCUACAAGAAAUAUCAUUUCUAAUACAACAAAGAAAUAUCAGUUGUUGCUGUUGAAGGAGUUGGUAAUAGAGUACCUUCAUCGAGUAUCCAACUAGCGUCGCUGCAUUCUCCGCCGAUUGUUGUUCCUGUUGCUGCUGUUGAAGAUGGUAGCAGGGUACCUGCAUUGGGCACCCAGCUGCCGCCACUGCAUUCUCCCCCAUUGUUGCAAUUUGUUCUCCAUUAUGUUUUAGACGAAGGACGAUAAUUUCUACGUAGAAGGUGGUCGAAAAACGGGUCAAGGUGAAAAUAGGUGAUUUGGGCUAGAUAACAUGUUGAGUUGUGUUAAUCAUAUUGGAGAAAAUUUUGAUUUUAAUACGAAUAAAAUAUAUUCAUGUAAAUGUUAUUUAAGAGUAUAACUUUUUGGCACGUGUAUUGCACGUGUAUGCCAAUCAUGUAAUGUUUAUUUUUAACAAUUGUGUUUACAAGUUAGAUUGGUAUUAUUUCGUAUCUGUUUUUGUUGAAGCAUAUACUCGGGGGUGGGUGCAGGGCGGACGAUUUUAAAGCGGACUCCCCAUUCAUUAGAUAGAGAAGAUCACCAAGAUUUCGCGAUCCGCUGCCGAAUCUAUUCCAAUUCAGAAUGCUCAUUGAAUGAGCAUUCUCAUCAAUAGGGCGCAGGGAACCAAUAAGAAGCAUUUCCGGGCCUAUCAAACAAACUAUAUACAAAAAAAGCACUUUGCCUAGAAUCCCAAGUUGCCUCCCCUCUCCUCUGAGGCCGAUCGCAUCCACUUUUUGAGCCCCUCGCCUUUGAGUACGGCAGCAGCUCAGACAUAGACCGAAUUAGGGGCCUAAACUCUUGAGUAGAUUGCCCAUGGAAAGGAGCUUACUCCAAGAUCUGACUCCCCCCGUGUAGGAGUUCGGGAAGGCCAGAAGUAAACAAAGAGCGGUAGAAGAGAAUAAAGUGUUGCGCCCAUUCUUUUCUUUCAUAGCUGGAGCAAAUGGAAGGAGACGUCGUGCAAGCCGAAGACUUCUGGGGCGUCAUUUCAUUCUCGUAACGGGAAUGAGUGCACCGUAAGACCAGACAAGUUGCUCCCUCGCCUCGCAGCGGCGGCAUCUGUCUUUUAAGUUAAGUCAUUUCCUAAGACGGCUCCAAGACCUUUGCAAGGAAGGGAAAGGAGGGAGAAUAAGGGAAGGUGGCAAGUAGCUGAUUGCACGCAGUGGAAGGGAAGGAGCCUAAAUCGACCCCCUUCUUUUUUUCUUUGAAAAAAGCAGUAAGGAGUAAGGAGAUUAAACUCUCGGAUGAGACUAAGCAGCUACCGAGAAUCCGAAGCCGGUUGCUAGCGGAAGUAGCGCGACAAAGAGCAAAGCGGAGCAUUCACAAAGAAAUGGUGUAAGCAGAAGGGAAGGCGCAACGGUUAGCGACUGCCCGAGGAGUGAUCCCUCUCUUAUUUUCCCUUUUUUAAGAUAAGAAAAGAGACAAUAAGCCCGUCAACAUUGAAGCUUCCGCUUUUGGCAGCUGUUAGGCAAGUGAUCUUACAUUUUGUUUUACAAAACAAGAGUAUAGAAGGUACUUUUGCAGACAAAUACUAUACAAACUAUACAAGACAUAUUAUUUCUAAUACAUCAAACCAAACAACGUACAGGAAAUAAUGCCAAUAUAACUCAUACCAACUUUAUUAAUGCAUGCAUUACUAAUACACCAUAUUGAACAUUAUUCUUAUUCACUCUACCAAACGAUCCCAUAAUUAAAUAGUCACUAUCCUUAACCGCCUUGAGCUGGAAGGCCCAAAACGCCUCCAACUAUCGUUGUUCUUCCUGUUCCUUUUGUCGCUGUUGAAGGAGUUGGUAGUAAGGUGCCUAUAUCGCGUAUCCGAUCUCCGUUGCAUUCUCCGCCAAUUGUUGUUCCUAUUGCUGCGGUUGAAGGUAGAAGUAGGGUACCUGUAUUGGGUACUCAACUGUCGCCGCUGCAUUCUCCGCCCAUUUUUGCGAUUUGUUCACCAUUAUGCUUUAGGUGAAGGACGAUAAUUUCUAAGGAGAAGAUGGCCGAAAAACGGGUCGGAAUGAAAAUAGGUGAUUGGAGAAAAUUUUGAUUUAAAUUAAAAUAAAAUAUAUUCAUGUAUAUGUUAUUUAAAAGUAUAGUUUUUCGGUACGUGCAUCGCACGUGUAUGCCAGUCAUGUAAUAUUUAAUUUUAAAAAUUGGAUUGACAAGAUUGGUAUAUUUCAUAUUUGUUUUAUCUUACAUUUUGUUUUACAAAACUAGAGUGUAGAAGAUAUUUUUAUAAAAAUAAUACUAUAAAAACUUUACAAGACAUAUAAUUUCUAAUACAACAAAACCAAACAACGAAUAGGAAAUAAUGCCAAUAUAACUAAUACCAGCUUUACUAAUGCAUGCAUUACUUAUACACCAUAUUCAACAUUAUUCUUAUAAACUCCACCAAACGACCCCCCUUAGUUAAAUAGUCACUAUCCUUACUCCUUGAGCUGGAAGGUCUAAAACGCCUCCAACUGUCGUCGUUCUUCCUGUACCCAUUCCUUCUGCUGCUGCAGAAGGAGUUGGAAGUAAGGUACCUACAUCGAGUAUCCAGUCGCCGCCGCUGCAUUUUCCACCGAUUGUUCCUGUUGCUGCUGUUGAAGAUGGUAGUAGGGUACCCACAUUGGGUAUCAAGCUGUUGCCGCUGCAUUCUCAUUCCAUUGUUGCGAUUUGUUCUCCAUUAUGCUUUCGACGAAAAAUGAUAAUUUCUAUGGAGAAGAUGGCCGAAAAGCAGGUCGGGAUGAAAAUAAGUGAUUUGGGCUAGAUACAUGUUGAGUUGUAUAGAAGAAUCAUAUUGGAGAUAAUUUUGAUUUUAAUAAGAAUAAAACAUAUUUAUGUAUAUAUUAUUUAGGAUUAUAGUUUUUUGGCACGUGCAUUGCACGUGUAUGCCAAGUCAUGUAAUAUAUAGUUCUGUAAAAUAAUUUUAACAAUUGGGUUUGCAAGUCAGAUUUUGUAUUAUUUUAUAUCUAUUUUAUCUUAACGAAGAGAGCAAAGUUAGUAUAAUUGAUUUGUCUUUUUCAUUUACCAUGUUUUGUUCACCAAGUCAUGUAAUAUUUAAUUUUAACAAUUGGGUUUACAAGUCAGAUUGGUAUUAUUUCGUAUCUGUUUUAUCUUACAUUUUUAUAUUCAGUAAUAAUUUUACUUAAAAUAUUUAUUUUAUCCUUAAUGAAUUUAUAGUCAUCCUUAAAAAAGUGAGUGAAAUUGCCAAAAAUAGAGGGUGUAUCCACUAUAUAUAAUGUUGUUGUUGCUGAAGGAGUUGGCAAUAGGGUACCUACAUCGGGUAUCCAGUCGGUGUCGCUGCAUUCUCUGCCAAAUGUUGUUCCUGUAUCUAAAGAUGGUAGUAAGGUAUCUGCAUUGGGUACCCAGCUGUCGCCGCCGCAUUCUCUGCAUUCUCCACCGAUUGUUGAGAUUUGUUCUCCAUUAUGCUUUGGAUGAAGGACAAUAAUUUUGAUGGAGAAGAUAGCAGUAAAACGGGUCGGGAUGAAAAUAGGUGAUUUGGGCUAGAUAACAUGUUGAAUUGUGUAGAAGAAUCAUAUUGGAGAAAAUUUUGAUUUUAAUAAGAAUAAAAUAUAUCCAUGCAUAUGUUAUUUAAGAGUACUAGCUUUUUGGCACGUGCAUUGCACGUGUAUGCCAGUCAUGUUAUAUUUAAUUUUAACAAUUGGCUUUACAAGUCAGAUUGAUAUUAUUUCGUAUCUGUUUUAUCUUACAUUUUUAUAUUCAGUAAUAAUUUUAUUUUAAAAUAUCUAUUUUAUCCUUAAUGAAUUUAUAGUCAUCCUUAAAAAAGUGAGUGAAGUUGCAAAAAUGGAGGUUGUAUCCACUAUAUAUAAUGUUGAUAAUCUUGGAAAUGCCGCUCUACUUGUUAAACCCUGUGCUCCUGUUUCCUUCAUCAUGUCUCAUUUUUUUUGAAUCUUCUGAAUGUGAAAAUGUGGAAGUUGCUUAUGAUUCUCCUCGUUCAUAUCAAUGCUACGGUACUGAUAAACGCCAUAAAACGGAUAACAAACCAGAUCGUCUCAGCGCCUUACCAGACCCUCUCAUCCUUCACAUCCUCUCAUCUUGCCAGAUGAAAGAUGUUAUACAAACUGGAGUUUUGUCUAAAAGGUGGCGCCUUUUGUGGACUUCAGCACACAACUUAUCUUUCACCCACUCUCCUGAAUCAAAUCGCGAAGUAACUGAAUUUAUAAAAUCCAUUGAUGAUACAUUGAUUCUCUCCUAAGCCUAGUAAAUAGAAUGAAUUUUCGGUUGAGUCUCUUUAGCAACCGAUUUGUUGACCAUGUUAACAGAUGGAUGAUUUUUGUGAUGAUUAAGUCUGUUGAGGUAGUGGAUUUGAAUCUGAUGAGGACACGAGGUUUCGAAGAGGGUUAUAGCUUACCACAACUUAUGUAUUCCAACGUGUGUUUACGUAAACUGAAGUUGUACAAUUGUAAUCUUGUACCAAAGGAGGGGAUUAAUUGGCCUGCUCUUAGGGUUUUAGCUCUUUGGUUUGUUAAAUUGAGCUUAGAAGUCGUUGAUGCGAUCUGUUCUGGAUGUCCUGGUUUGGAAUCUCUCAAGUUUUGUAUGUGUUUCGGCGUUUCCUGGUUUUUAUAUUAAUUCUGAAAGUGUGAAGAAGUUGGUUAUCGGGGGAUACUUGCAACAAGAACAUGAAGAUAGCGACGACGAUGACGAUGAUGAUAAAGAGCUGACAAUAAUGUUACUUCGCUGGAGAUUAGUGGAUGUCUUCACAACAAAAAUCCAGUUCUCCAGAAUGUGCAAGCUCUAGUCGAUGCUAAGCUAUAUUUUGGGUAGGGAAGACGAUGAAAGUGACUUUAGGACAGAAUAGUCUCUGAAGACAAAAAUACAGCUAAGAAGAUAAAAACAUCGAUCUGAAACGCAUUAUCAUUAGCAUUCAGAAAGUUUGAAGGUUUUAAUGAAAGUUUUUAGGUGGAAAAGAUGGCUGAAAAGCGGGUCACGAUGAAAAUAGGUGAGUUGGGCUGGAUAUACAUGUUGGGUUGUGGAGAAGAAUUAUAUUGGAGUAAAUAAUUAGAAUAAAAUAUAUUCAUGUACACGUUAUUUAAGAUUAUAGUUUUUUGGCACAUGCAUUGCACGUGUAUGCCAAGUCAUGUAAUAUAUAGUUCUAUAAAAUAAUUUUAACAAUUGGGUUUGCAAGUCAGAUUUUGUAUUAUUUUGUAUCUAUUUUAUCUUAACGAAGAGAGCAAAGUUAGUAUAAUUGAUUUGUCUUUUUCAUUUACCACGUUUUGUUCACCAAGUUAUUUUGCAACCAAACAAUAGAAAAAUCUUUGAUUAAAACUUAUAUGCAUCAAACUAUUCUAGUGUUUGUACACAUUCAAUUAGUACAAUAGAGUACUCGUUAAAUUUACCCAUAACAUCCAAAACAACUCAAAUCACACCAAGGAAAAGACCCCACAGAAAAGAUCAAUUUUAAAUUCAAUACUAACAAUGGUACAUUAUUUUUAAAAAAAAAAAAAAAAAAGAGAGAUAUGAAGCACCAUGUCAAUAUAUAUUCCAACCAAUGGUACAUUUUUUUAUUUUUUAUUCCAACCAAUGCUCUAGUACAUUGCUUGAAUUUUCAGAAUGCAUCUGUAACACCUCAAUAUAUAUUGAACAACUGAACUUACUGAAAGGUUCCAUUAUAGCAAGAAGUUUGCACCAAAUAAAUAAGAAAAGAGCAACUGCAUUCGAAAGCCAGGACGCUUCUACCCAUGCAUUCAUAACAACUCAGACCACACUUGGAUAAAAAAAAACCAUAGGAGAGAGUACCUGGGUGAGAAGCCCAGCAGGAGACAAUAACCGUAAAAUUAAUAGUAGAAUUGGUAGAUAAAGCAGUAUGUCCAAACCAAUGCCCCAAGACAUUGCUUAAUUUCCAGAAAACAUGACUUUCCCAAAUCAGAGAACAUAUUAACUAAAUGUACCUGACAGACCCCAAAAACGAAAUUCAAAUGCGAUCAAACCGCGCCAAAUUUCAUAACUUGACCAAUCAUAUCUGUAACUAUCAAGCAGAACAGAAAUAAUCACAAAUCUCCUCCAUGACAAACCACAAAAAGAACUCUAGAUGUGAUCAAGCAGGCUAAAUUCCAUACUUUCACUAACCAUAUCUACAAUUAUUAAGCAGAAGAGAAAUAAUCACACGACUAAACCUCUCACCAGAGAAAACAUUAAUAACUUAUUCAACACCUGCACUCAUGCUAGAGUACCCGAACAAUUCCUCUAAACCAAUUGAUCCAAUUGCAAAUGGGUAACCUAUAUCCCACCAUGAUGAGGAAAAAUUACAUCACAACCCACAAGAAGGAAGACAUAAUAAACAAGACAUGGAAGGAAAAGAAAAAUGUUAAGCUCAGAACCACAGCCAGGUCAAUGAAAGACAACAGGAAUUGUCCCUGUAAGUACUCCCCACUGCCAUCUUUAAAUGAUAUCCGACGCUAGACCACGAGACGAAACUUUUAAAUUGUUCCUUUUAAAAAUCAACAAUUGUAAGUGGAUCAAUUGAUCAAAUUCUGUAUACCUACUGUGAAAUUUUCGCUUAUUAUAAGUGGCAGUCCAGAAUGUUUCUUUCAAUUACAUAGUGGUUGAGGCAAGGUGAUCCCACGUCACCUUUCCUAUUUAUCUUAGCAAUGGAGGUCCAUGAUCAGAAAAGCAAGUGAGAAUAGAUGGAUAAAUGGUUUUCCUGCAAAUGUCAGUAGUGGAAAUAAUAUGCAGAUGAUUCCUCGGUAUUUUGUGAAGCUGAAAUAAGUCAAUAAUUCAGAUCGGACACUCAUCUAUUUUUUAGGGAAUUUCAAGACUCCAUGUCAAUUGGCAUAACAGUAGUUUAUACCCAGUCAACCAAAUUACCAAUAUGGAGAUAGUUGAUGUCAAUUUAGGGUGCCAAGUAGCAUCCCUUCCAACUAAACAUCUUGUUAUGCCUCUUGGUGCUAAGAAUAAAGAAGUGGAAGUAUGGAAUGAAGUGAUGGAAAGAAGUGAGAGAAAGCUGACAAGAUGGAAAAGCCAAUAGCUGUCUUUAGGAGGCAGAUUAACACUCAUUAAAUCAGUAAUGGAUGAUCUCCCCACUUACAUGAUGAGUCUUUUCCCAAUUCCAAGAAGCAUAGAGAAGAAAAUCAACAACUUAGGAGAGUCUUCUUAUGGUAGGGAGAUAAAGAGAAGCUUGGGUACAAAUUAGUAAAAUGGGAUGAGGUGACUCUCAACAAAGCCCAGGAUGGUAUUGGGGUAAAGACGCUGAGCAUGCAGAAUGUGAGUUUGUUGAAGAAGUAGCUUUAGAGGUUCUAUAAUGACGACUUGUUUUUAUGGAGAGGAUUCAUCUCCCAGAAGUAUGUCUCCAAAAUAAUUGGUGCACUGAUAAAGAAGCUGGAACUUUUGGGUGCUCUGUUUGAAAGACUAUCAGAAGACUAAGGCCUCCUUUUAAUUCCAAUUUGUCAUUCAAGAUUGAGAUGGGGUAAAAACUAGUUUCUGGAAUGUAAACUGGAUAGGAGACAGGAACCUGAAAACUUUAUUCCCAGAUCUAUACAUUCUAGCUUGCAAUAGAUGCUGGCAAAGAUGUGGAGCCCUCAAGGUUGAAGCCUGAAUUUUAGGAGGGCUCUAAAUGACUGGGAGAUUAGUAGAGUUGCAGGGCUCUUGCAGGUGUUGAAUAUAUUCCCAGGUGUCUCAGAGGAACCAGAUUGUCCAAUAUGUAAGUUGCACAACUAAGGAAUUUCGACUGUGAAAUCGUGUUACUGGAAUAUGAACUAUAACCAAAUAAUGGGAAUGGAGUGGCCAUGGAAACUAAUCUGAAAGAUCAAAGGCCCUCAUAAGGUGUCAUGCUUCACAUGGUUGGUGAUCAGAAAAGCAUGUUUAACCCAUGAAGUGUUACACAGGAGAGGUACAUAAAUUUGCUCAAGGUGUAGUAUGUGUGAAAAAGAGGCAGAGAUUAACAACCACUUAUUCCUACAUUGCAAAACAGUUAUAAAUCGAUGGGAUAUGUUCUUAUAUGUAUUCUUGGGUUUAACUGGGUAGUGCCCAAAACUACUUCAGACAUGCUCAAACAAUGGGAAGGACGAGGUAGAAGAAGAAAAUCAAAAGAGGACCGGUGGAAAUGUAUUCCAGCAUGCAUUGAGUGGUCACUUUGAAUGGAAAGGAAUGAAAGAUCCCAUGAUGAGCAAGCUAGAAGCAUUCAGAAGAUCAAGAUGUAAAGUCUGAGUUUGUUGUAUUUUUGGUAUAAACAAAAUAUGGUGGGGGAAGUAGAAAGUCUAGUUAACUUCAUAGGCAAAUUGUAAAGUUCUUUUUUUGGGGAUUGAUUCUGCAUGAUACCCCCUGGGGUUGAAAAUCCCAUCUCAUCAGUCUUUUACCUAAUGAAUUUUUUGAUAGGAAUACAAAAGUUACCCGUUAUAACGCCCCCGCAAACUGGUGGUGUCAACAACACCCAACUUGGGAAAAUAGUGAUGAUUGGGCGUCGCAGCAGAGUUAGAGGCAACAAGGAAAGGUUGUGUGGCCAUGAGAGGUGGGGCAAGUGAUGCGGAAGAGGGUUGUACCAUAGGGUUCUAGCACAAAGGUCCAGUGGGCUUAUUUCGGUGCUAGUAAGUGAUUAUUGUGGAUUGUGGUUAAGCGUUUAAAAGGGGAGAUGGAUGAACUGAUGAGGCUGAACCAUUCGGUUGAAGUGAACUGUGGCAGGAAACUAAAUUUUGGAUGGUGAAGGGAAGGGGCAGGGAUGAUGUUGGAGAAAGAGAAGAAGUAUCAGACGAGGAAGAAACUGAAUUACCUAACCCAGUAGUACCUGUUGAGGCAGAGGAGACGAGUGAAUGCAGGCGUGUCCACAGGCUGCUGCACAAUCUGAGUAGGAAACUCAUAAGAAUCAUUUGAACUUUGAGUAUUAACCCGUGGUUGUUCAGUUGAAAAAAUUUCCCAAGAUACAUUUUUAUUUUGUGUAUUUUUCAACAACAUACCAGUAAGUCCCACCUAGUGGGGUCUGAGAGGUAGAAUGUACGCAGUCAAUACCACUACCUCCGAAGAAGUAGAGAGGUUGUUUCCGAUAGACCCGGCUAAAGACACAGAGACGGUAUAUAAGGUCGUAAUAAACCAUGAAACAAGAUGAAAUAACAGAAAAAGGCACCCACAAAGUAAUAUGAUACACUAACACCCCGCAAGUACCCACCUCCCCCAACCCACCUAACUAGAGACUCCCUCUUAUGUGCAAAGGCUUACAACUACUAGCUGGCUACCCCAAACCGAACCUAACUACUGGCUACAACUCACCCACACACACUAACCUACUAACCUGAUUCGAGUUCUCCAUACUUUCCUAUCUAGAGCCAUGUCCUCAGUAAGCUGUAACUGCUUCAUGUCCUGUCUAAUCACCUCUCUCCGAUAUUUCUUCAGCUUACCUCUACCAAUCCAAAGUUAACCUCUCGCACCUCCGAACCGAGGCAUCCGUUCCCCUCCUCAUCACAUGCCCAAACCAUCUCAACCCCACUUCCCGCAUCUUGUUCUCUACCGAGGCCACUCCCACCUUCGCCCGAUUAAUCCCAUUCUUAACCCUGUCUUCCCUAAUAAGCUCACACAUCCAAAGCAAUAUUCUCAUUUCCGCCACUUUCAACUUUUGAAUGUGAGAGUUCUUAACUGGCCAACACUCUGCUCCAUACAACAUGACCGGACGGACUGCCACUCUAUAAAUUUGCUUUUAAGCUUGGGAGGCACUUUCUUAUCACACAAAACUCCUGAGGCUAGCCUCUAUUUCAUCCUCCCUACCCCAAUACGAUGCGUGACAUUCUCAUCAAUCUUUUCAUUUCCCUGAAUCAUAGACCCAAGAUACUUAAAACUAUACUUCAUACAAACAACCUACGAAUCCAACUUCACUACCACCUCGUCCUCCCUUGUCACGUCGCUGAACUUACAUUCCAAGUACUCCGUCUUGGUCCUGCGCAAUCUGACCCUUUUGACUCCAAGGUUUGUCUCCAAACCUCCAAUUUAUCAUUAACACCUCCUCGUCUCACUAAUCAAAACUAUACCAUCCGCAAAUAGCGUACACCACGGCACCUACGCCACCGGCACCCUCUAGCAUCUAAGCAUCUCCAAAGUACCUCCCUAGGGACUUUGUCGUAUGCCUUCUCCAGGUCGAUGAACACCAUAUAUAAGUCCCUCUUUCCUCCCCAUACAUCUCCACUUGUCUCCACACAAGGUGAAUUGCCUCAAUCGUCGAGCGACCGGGCAUAAAUUUGUACUGAUACUCCGAAAAAGACAUGCUCCUCCUCAACCUCCGCUCAACCACUCUCUCCCAAAUCUUCGUAGUGUGACUCAACAACUCAAUGCCCAUGUAGUUGUUGCAACUCUGAAUGUCACCCUUGUUCUUGUAUAAAGGGAUCAUCGUACUCCAUCUCCAAGCCUCGAACAUCUUCACAGUCCUGAAAAUGCCAUUAAACAAUUAGGUCAACCACCUCAAACCUGCCCCGUCUGAAUAUAUCCAAAAAUCCACCAAGAUCUCAUCAGGCCCCACGCCCUACCCUUACGCAUCCUCCGAGUAGCCUCAAAGACCUCAUCCACCCUUAUACAUCUAUAAUAACCAAAAUCAUGACACCCCUCAGAGUUUUCAAACUCCUCUAACACAAUGUCUUUGUCCCCAUCAUCAUUAAAGAGCCUAUGGAAAUACAAUUGCCAUUUUCUCUUAAUGUGAACGUCCUCCACCAGUACUUCGCCAUCUUCCCCAUAAUGCACUUCACUUGGUCAAGGACACGAGCCUUCCGCUCCCUAGCCUUAGCAAACCUAUACAACCUUUUCUUCCCGUCUCUCUCCUCUAAACCCGCAUACAAGUUCUCAAAAGUUGUUGUCUUAGCUGUCGUAACCGCUAACUUAGCUUCCUUCCUAGCUAACCUGUAUUCCUCCCUGUUCGUCCGUUUCUCCUCUUCAUCCUUACUCUCAGUCAACUUAGCAUACGUCACCUUCUUAGCCUCCACCUUCUUUUUAACCUUUUCGUUCCACCACCAGUCCCCUCGAUGAUGGCCAGGUCGUCCCCUCAAGACACCCAACGUCUCUCUAGCUAUCUCCUUAGUAAAACUGGCAGCCCUAUCCCACAUACUAUCAAUGUCUCCCCUACACUCCCGCACCCCCAUCGCUGCCAACCUCUCCCCCAUCUCCAAAGUACUAGCUGGAGUCAAGCCACCCACCUAAUUCUUGGUCGACCAUCUCCACCUCUCCUCUUCUUGCCCUUCUUGAUAUCCACGUCCAUCACCAGAAACCUAUGCUAGGUCGCAAGAUUCUCACCAGGAAUGACCUUACAAUCCUUACACAAUGCUCUAUCCCCCUUCUUAAGCAGCAAAAAGUCAAUCUGAGUCUUGGUUGUGGUCCUCCUUCUUCGAGAAAUUCAACUUCACUACCACCAAUCCAAAGGUCCUCGCAAAAUCCAAAAGAGCAACCCCUUCUUCAUUCCUAUCCCCGAAACCAAAGCCUCCAUGCACAUCGUCAUAACCUCUCGGCAAUGACACGAUGUGCCCAUUGAAAUCCCCUGCUACGAAAAUCUUCUCAGAGCUAGGAAUGCCACUCACCACCUCGUCCAAAACCUCCCAAAAUCUCUUCUUCUCCUCGUCCAAGCCUACCUAAGGCGCAUAAGCCCUACAAACGUUCAGAGUAAACCCUUCAAUGACCAACUUAAUAGUCAGAAACCUAUCACUAACCCUCUAAACCUCCACUACCUGCCCCCUAAGCUCUUCGUGUACUAAGAUACCUACUCCAUUCCGACGUCUCUCACUACCUGAGUACUACAACUUGUACCCGUCCACAUCCCUAGCCUUAGAGCCUACCCACUUGGUCUCUUGGACACACGCGAUAUUAAUUCUCCUCUUCUUAAGAAUCUUUGCGAACUCUAUGGACUUACCCUAAAGGAUCCAUAUAUUCCAGGACCCAAACCCCAACCUAUCAACUCUCGUAUCAUGCUUACCCCGCACCCCAUACCCCACAACUAACCCAACACCAGACCCCGACCCUAACCCCAGCCUCCCAGGACAUGACCCUCGCCUACCAUCCACCACGAAAGCCACCACUCCAACAAAAGCAAAAAAUAACUCAAAAAACAGGCCAAAUACCAAGAACAACAAACAAGAGACACCAAUACAAGGAAGUAGAUAGACCACAACAAAUUAAAAGUCAAGAUAAAAGCGGAAAAAACAUUUUCGAAUGGGAACUGAUUUCCCAAAAAUAAGACGUCGCGAGAUAAAUAUAUUUGGGAGUUCAAGGAUCAAAACAUUGAUGGCAGUACUGUUUAUUCAAAAAUUCUAAAUAAACACAUAGUAUAGAAUGGGGCUCUACUUCUUUUUUUGGCAUAUAACUUGAGCCAUAACACAAACAACCAAAUACUUUAAUGGAGUCAUACUUAGGGAUAGUUUGAAACAAAAUUUGAAAGGGGCUCUUAUGCUGAAGAUUAGGUGUAGUUAGCCUGUUUGUAAGAGAAACAACUUGUUGACAGGCAAAACUCCAAAAAUGUAAGGGUAAAGGCGCUUGGUGCAGCAAGGUUUUAGCAGUUUCAAUAACAUGCAGGUGUCGUCUUUUGACUAGAGCAACUCGAUGUGGAAUACAAGGGGGUGACACUAAGUGUUCUGUGUCAUGUGUUUUAAGAUAGGACAGUAAACUUUGAAAUUCGCCACCACCAUCAGUGUAAAAGAAUUGAAUUUUCGUGUUGAACCUUCGUUCAAGCAAUGGAUGCAAAGCUUGAUAAACUUCCAGUAUUUCAUUUUUUUUAUUUUAAAGUGAACAACCACAUGUAUUUUGAGAAUUGAGCAACAAAUAAAACAUAAUAUCUUUUUUUUUAUCAAUUGACAAAAUCAAAGAUUAACCCAUAAAUCGUUAUAAAGGAUUUACACGGGCUUAUUACUUUGCAAUGAAUUUUCUGAGAAAGUCAACCUUGUGUUUUAUUUGAAUAACAAGAACUACAAAUGGAACAAGCUUUAGGAUCUACAAUAGGAAGGGAAAAAUUACUCAAGAUAGUAUUUAAAACAUUGCAUUGAAGAGAACGAUGUGCACAACCCGGUGGCCACUCAUAUAACUCACCAUAUAACUCAUCUUUAUCCUGCCCACGAACUAGAGACGCCCCCAUACUCAGAUCUUUCAAAAUAUAAUGGGAAGAGAAAAGGUCAAUUCAGGAAAUGAUUAUCAAUGCAAUACUUAGAAACAAAAAUAAUUUUUUAUGAUAGGGGAACAUAAGGUAUUGAGAAGUUUGAAAUGAUAAUUUGAUGCAUUUAUGUUAGCGUUACUGGUAUGAGAUAUUGGAAUGGUGUUACCAUUGCCCAUAGUUAUCCCUUCAGUGCCGUGAUAGUCAUGUAUAGUGGCUAGACUUUGAGCAUCAGAUGUAGUAUGAUGAGUGGCUCCACCAUCCAUGAUCGAAGGGGUUUAUUGAGGAGAAAAACAAGCAGCAAAGUUUGCCUGGACUUGCAGAAGGUCAUGUGACUACGAUCUGCAAACGGUAGACGAAUGACUAAUGUGAUCUAGGGGUGUGCAAAAACCGAACCGAUCGAUAAACCAAACCGAUAAAAAUAUUAUUGGGCUAUAAAAAAAUUAUUGGAUUAUUGUUCGGUUCGAUUUUUUCUUAUUGGGCUAUUGGGUAAAUCGAUAACCAAUAAGACUAUACAUACAUACAUACACGCACACACACAUAUAUAUGACUUAUUAUAUAUUUCUCUUAAUUUCUCUUUAAUUUCUACAAAUCAACAAACUUAUUAUUUCAAUUAUACAAACUCUUAAUUUCUCCUAACAACACUUAGUUCAAACUUGAAGAUUCUUGUAAAUUAAAACACAUCAUGUAGGAUUUUUAAUUGCAACUAAUAAUCGAUUUUUUUCAAUGUUAGUUACGACUAUUUCUAUUUUAUCAGUAUUUUCUUAUUGGUUAAAUCGAAAAUCGAACCGUUAAAGACUGAAAAACCGAUAAAAAAUAUCUUAUUGGUUUAGCAUAUUUAAAAAUCAAAAAUCGAUAAACCGAACCGAUAAUAUGUAGAAUCGAACCGACCGAUACACACCCUUAAUGUGAUCACAAAGUUGGCAGCGAAGGUGUUUGUCAGAGGGCUGCUGGUGGUUGUUUCUACGUGGGUGUUAAGCUCACCAUUGUUGAUUGUUGGCAGGAGUGUUCUCACCUGGACGAUUGCUAGAGUAAGAAGGAGUUGAGCUUGUCUUUUGUGCUAAAGCAGCCGUAAUAGGAGUUGAUAGAGGCUUCUUGGCUUCCUUAUGUUGUAAGAAAAGCUCAUAAUCUAGAAGCUUUUCGUAAAGCUCUUCACAGGAUAUAGGAGAAUCCCGUGCACGAAUGGCAGCAGAGAGUUCUCGAAAUUCAGAUCCAAGUGCAUGAGAAUUUUAACAGUGAGUUCUGGUUUUGAUACCAGUGCACCAAUAGUUGCAAGUUCAUCACAAAGUGAACGAACUUGAUGAAGGUAAUACGUGACUUGACGAGAGUCUUUAGUAAGGCGUGCCAAUCAGUCUAACAGGCUAAAAUUCCUGUUUCAGAUUUGUUUACAUAUGCAAUAUGCAAAGCAUCCCAGGCAAGUUUGGCGGGGACUGCAAUAGCAAAAUUGGCGUAAGUGUAGGAUAAUCGGAAGCUAAGAUAGCAUUUUGAAUUAACUGAUCUUGGUUAUACCAAGGAAGAAACUCAGGAUUAUCAGCAUCUUGAUUGUUUUGAGAGAUGGUGCGAAUAGGAGCAGGGAUGGAGCCAUCGAGAUGCCCAUAAAGAUUGUGACCAUGAAUAAGCAUUGAAACUUGAGCUUUCCACAGCGAGAAAUUGUGACUGCCGGUUAAUUUUAUGGGCAGUUGGGUAACAGGAUUAAACUGCACAACAGUAUCGGCGUUAUCGACUCCAUCGGCAUUGGCCACAGAAGUAUUAGGGGCCAUUUGGACGAGUAAGAAGGAAAAAAAAAGGAUCAACUCAUGGGAGUACUUAGAAGUGCUCCGAUACCAUAAAGAGGCAAAAUCAGAAGAUGGGAAAAUAGUUAUCGUCUUUAUUGAUUGUAUGGCAGGUAUAUAAAGAAUUUGCACAAGAUCUAUAUCAGCCAUGAUAGACUUGGAAAAGGAUAAUGACUAUCCAAUAGAGCCUAAAUAAGAGGAGAAGGUCCAAACAAAUUCCUCAGAAUUAGGACUACAAAAAUAGAACUCUACAGCAGUAAGGUGUCUUGCAUCAACCGUACCGAGUAGGCGCGACAACUUUGUACCUGGAAUCAAAGAAUAUAAGCAUCUUGACAAAAUAACAGCAGCUCAUACUCUUGUGGCAUCAAAAGCAAAAAAGUAAACCAUCUUAACAUAUAAGUUCCAGCGACUGCAAGCAGAGAAAGCAAGGCUUAGUAAUGACUGCAAGAGGAAUUCUAUCUAACCACAAGAAAAUUGAUCAGAUUCAGACAUGAAAAGCAAGACAGAGAGGAGGAGGAGAAGGAGGGGGGGGGAAGAGAUAACUAUUCUAUUCUAGAAGCAGACAGAAGAAAGCACCAAAAUACAUCUUGCAAGAAGUAUGAUUCAAUACCUGAAAUUGUUUAUUUUGCAUUUUGCUUAGAUAGUUGACCGAAUAGAAUGUUCAAAGCUGUCUCACUGGAGCGUGCAGCUUGCGUAGCUGUGGUGGCAUAGGGCUGCAUGAUACAGUGGCACGAAAAGCAAUUCUCACCGAGUAAUGGCAUAGGGCUGCAUACUACAGUGGCAGAAAUGCAUCUUCAUUUCUGAACUUUUUCUCCAAUUAUGUGCCGAAAUCUAUAAGGAACUGGUCAAACAAUCAUGGGAAACCGACAAACUGAAUUACCAAACUUUUGAAGACCUAAAUUACAGUGGCACCAAAAGCAAUUCUCACCGUCAUUCAAGUUUCUCUAAGCACAUAAAUAGUAACUGAAUAUGCCAUGAAACCACGGAUGCAUCUCUUCAUGCUCAUUUCAUGCAUGAAGUACCAUUUGUACAAAUAAGUUAAUUUUACAUAUUACUCGUGUGAUCUAUUUUUCAGAUCUAAAAAGAUCCUCAAGCCAAACUUUUUAGGGUGGGCUAUAUGAAUUCUCUGUAUUAAUUAUUUUCUACGAAACCAAAGUAAAAUUCGACAGCACGCAGACAGAAGAGAUAACUAUUCUAUUCUAGAAGCAAACAGAAGGGAGCACCAAAAUACAUCUUGCAAGAAGUAUGAUUCAAUACCUGAAAUUGUUUAUUUUGCAUUUUGCUUAGAUAGUGGACCGAAUAGAAUGUUCAAAGCUGUCUCACUGGAGUGUGCAGCUUGCGUAGCUGUAGUGGCAUAGGGCUGCAUGAUACAGUGGCAUGAAAAGCAAUUCUCACCGAGUAAUGGCAUAGGGCUGCAUACUACAGUGGCAGAAAUGCAUCUUCAUUUCUGAACUUUUUCUCCAAUUAUGUGACGAAAUCUAUAGAGAACUGGUCAAACAAUCAUGGGAAACCGACAAACUGCAUUACCAAACUUUUGAAGACCUAAAUUACAGUGGCACCAAAAGCAAUUCUCACCGUCAUUCAAGUUUCUCUAAGCACAUAAAUAGUAACUGAAUAUGCCAUGAAACCACAGAUGCAUCUCUUCAUGCUCAUUUCAUGCAUGAAGUACCAUUUGUACAAAUAAGUUAAUUUUACAUAUUACUCAUGUAAUCUAUUUUUCAGAUCUAAAAAGAUCCUCAAGCCAAACUUUUUAGGGUGGGCUAUGUGAAUUCUCUAUAUUAAUUAUUUUCUACGAAACUAAAGUAAAAUUUGACAGCUUCAAGAGACAUCUUAAAUCUUCAUUCUUAAACCAUUCUAAUCCAAUAAGUAAAAGGUGCCAAUUAUAAUUCUGAAAAUUUACUUCCUUUUAUAGAAGUUACAAAUUUGAGAUAGACACUUCAAACGGAACUUUUUUCUUCUUUGAAAAAACAUUCACCACAAAAUCUAGAACAGAACCUUACAAUCAAAGCUUCAAAAAACGAAAAUAUCAAUCAAUAAAUAGAGUUUAAAGAUGUAUUAUGAAAAGUAACUAUAUAAAGAUUUUAAAGCCUUGAUUCAACAUAGCAGAAGUGAAUUAAGCAAGAUAAUGAAAUAACUCUAACUAAAAAGUGAUCUAGCAACACAAAUUAAAAAUAAAAAGGAAAGGGUUAUAUAUAUAUAACAUGUACAUAUAAACCAAUGCAGAAAUCAUCUUCUUCAAUAGAACAAAUGCAGAAAACAGUUUCAGCAAUCCGAAUGAAGCCAUGCAUGAAAACAAAGCAGAAGCAUUUGAUUAAAAAUAGUUUACCUGCAAAAGGAAGCAAUGGUGAACAGCAUAGAGAGAGUUGCUGCUGAAUUUCCACCCAAAACAAUUUCCACUUCUAGCUAUAUAGAGUAUUGAUCAAUUCAGAAUUUCGACAACCCUAGAGGAAUCUGCAAUUUUGGCAGGUAAAACAGUUCAUUAAAAAAAGAGAAAAAAUAGGAGAAAAGGCUUUCUUUUCCUGAAUGAAAAGUAAUCUUUUCAGGUUUGGCCCGGCCCUAUUUAUUUUGACCUUUUAUAGCUGCGGGGAGAGGGGAAGUAUGGGUUAAACCUUUACCAUGAUUAAUUUUAAACCAUAAUUCAACUUUCCAACUUUUUAUUAUUUGGAGAAGAUAAAUUUUAAAAAAGAUAUUUUGGAGUUUAUAAAUUAAUUGUUUGUUCCUUGCUAAUUGAAUUCCUGACUAUAUUAUAAUUCCUCAAAUAGAUAGGAAUUCACAUUUUGACUUCAUCGUAAUAUCUAAGAUCUAUUUCAAAUUUAGUUAACUUUGCCUUUCUUACUACUCCCUACGUCUUCUUUUCGUAUCAGAUUCUGGAGAUUCUCUUUCAUUGCUUCAUCAUCAUUAGUACUGAGAUUAAUGAGUUGAUAGAGAUGAAGAUGAAGAAAUAGUGUACUGUCCUCCUUUUGAGCUUUCGGAAUGUUGUUAGCUUUCCUUUUUUGUUUUCUUUUUGCUUUUUGUUAUUUUUACCUGUUUCCAGGUUGGGUUUGGGGCCUUGACCUGGUUUUGGGUUCAGUUUGUACGUCUUUCUUUUUGGUUAAUAAAAAGGCCCAUGGGGCCCUAUGCCUUUAAUUUAAAAAAAAAAAAAAUACUCCCUACGUUUCAAUUUGAUUGCCUUACUUUCCUUUUUAUUCCGUUUAAAAAGAAUAUCUUUCCUUUUUUGGAAAUCUUUAGCUUGAACAAUUUAAGACCACAAGAUUCGUUUGAACAAUUUAAAACCACAAGAUUCGAAAGUGUUUUACUUUCCUAAACUCCGUGUCUAGUCAAAAUUAGACUAACAAAAUAAAGCAGAGGGAGUAAGAGAAAGCAAGUAAAUAAGGCAAAAAAAUUUAUUUAUGAAGUGUUUCCUUUUUACACCUUUUUCAAGAAUGAAGUUCUUGGUUUUCAUUUACCUUAACUUUUUCAGCCACAAACUGACAAUAUAGUUGGCACUAAGUUCAUGAUUAAGAAUCUGGUUUAAAGUUUUAAUGACUGAGAUAUAUCAGUUGUAAACUAUCUCUUACAACUUAAUUGUCUUUAUCUGAACCUUUCCAGUUGUGUGACCGAAAAAAUAGUCUUUGGGGAAACCUCCUAUAUCUUCACAUUCCUUGCUAUUUUUCUUCGGUCUUUUAAAUCAACAUCCUGAGAAAAGAGUUUUGAAUUUCUGACUACAAUUAAACUUCCUUGAAUAGAUAGGAAUUCAUAUUGACUUCAUAAUAUCUAAAAUCUAUUUCAGAUUUAGUUAACUUUGACUUUAGGACUAAAAGAACACAAGUAAAUAAGGAAAAAAAUUUAGCGUUGAAGAUUUUGAUUCAUGGUCUUUCGGUGAAGGUGCAAAUACUAAUUAUACUUCCUUGAAUAGAUAGCAAUUCAUAUGUGACUUGCAGCAUAAUAUCUAAAAUUUAUUUCAGAUUUAGAUAACUUUGAUUUUCUUACUAAACGAACGCAAGUAUGGAAAAAAAUUUAGUGUUGAAGAUUUUGAUUCUUUAUUUUUCGGUGAGGAUGCAAAUAUUAAUAUUCAGAUCACCAUCUACUANNNNNNNNNNNNNNNNNNNNNNNNNNNNNNNNNNNNNNNNNNNNNNNNNNNNNNNNNNNNNNNNNNNNNNNNNNNNNNNNNNNNNNNNNNNNNNNNNNNNNNNNNNNNNNNNNNNNNNNNNNNNNNNNNNNNNNNNNNNNNNNNNNNNNNNNNNNNNNNNNNNNNNNNNNNNNNNNNNNNNNNNNNNNNNNNNNNNNNNNNNNNNNNNNNNNNNNNNNNNNNNNNNNNNNNNNNNNNNNNNNNNNNNNNNNNNNNNNNNNNNNNNNNNNNNNNNNNNNNNNNNNNNNNNNNNNNNNNNNNNNNNNNNNNNNNNNNNNNNNNNNNNNNNNNNNNNNNNNNNNNNNNNNNNNNNNNNNNNNNNNNNNNNNNNNNNNNNNNNNNNNNNNNNNNNNNNNNNNNNNNNNNNNNNNNNNNNNNNNNNNNNNNNNNNNNNNNNNNNNNNNNNNNNNNNNNNNNNNNNNNNNNNNNNNNNNNNNNNNNNNNNNNNNNNNNNNNNNNNNNNNNNNNNNNNNNNNNNNNNNNNNNNNNNNNNNNNNNNNNNNNNNNNNNNNNNNNNNNNNNNNNNNNNNNNNNNNNNNNNNNNNNNNNNNNNNNNNNNNNNNNNNNNNNNNNNNNNNNNNNNNNNNNNNNNNNNNNNNNNNNNNNNNNNNNNNNNNNNNNNNNNNNNNNNNNNNNNNNNNNNNNNNNNNNNNNNNNNNNNNNNNNNNNNNNNNNNNNNNNNNNNNNNNNNNNNNNNNNNNNNNNNNNNNNNNNNNNNNNNNNNNNNNNNNNNNNNNNNNNNNNNNNNNNNNNNNNNNNNNGAACUGGUCAAACAAUCAUGGGAAACCGACAAACUGCAUUACCAAACUUUUGAAGACCUAAAUUACAGUGGCACCAAAAGCAAUUCUCACCGUCAUUCAAGUUUCUCUAAGCACAUAAAUAGUAACUGAAUAUGCCAUGAAACCACAGAUGCAUCUCUUCAUGCUCAUUUCAUGCAUGAAGUACAAUUUGUACAAAUAAGUUAAUUUUACAUAUUACUCGUGUGAUCUAUUUUUCAGAUCUAAAAAGAUCCUCAAGCCAAACUUUUUAGGGUGGGCUAUAUGAAUUCUCUGUAUUAAUUAUUUUCUACGAAACCAAAGUAAAAUUCGACAGCACGCAGACAGAAGAGAUAACUAUUCUAUUCUAGAAGCAAACAGAAGGGAGCACCAAAAUACAUCUUGCAAGAAGUAUGAUUCAAUACCUGAAAUUGUUUAUUUUGCAUUUUGCUUAGAUAGUUGACCGAAUAGAAUGUUCAAAGCUGUCUCACUGGAGCGUGCAGCUUGCGUAGCUGUGGUGGCAUAGGGCUGCAUGAUACAGUGGCACGAAAAGCAAUUCUCACCGAGUAAUGGCAUAGGGCUGCAUACUACAGUGGCAGAAAUGCAUCUUCAUUUCUGAACUUUUUCUCCAAUUAUGUGCCGAAAUCUAUAAGGAACUGGUCAAACAAUCAUGGGAAACCGACAAACUGAAUUACCAAACUUUUGAAGACCUAAAUUACAGUGGCACCAAAAGCAAUUCUCACCGUCAUUCAAGUUUCUCUAAGCACAUAAAUAGUAACUGAAUAUGCCAUGAAACCACAGAUGCAUCUCUUCAUGCUCAUUUCAUGCAUGAAGUACCAUUUGUACAAAUAAGUUAAUUUUACAUAUUACUCGUGUGAUCUAUUUUUCAGAUCUAAAAAGAUCCUCAAGCCAAACUUUUUAGGGUGGGCUAUGUGAAUUCUCUAUAUUAAUUAUUUUCUACGAAACUAAAGUAAAAUUUGACAGCUUCAAGAGACAUCUUAAAUCUUCAUUCUUAAACCAUUCUAAUCCAAUAAGUAAAAGGUGCCAAUUAUAAUUCUGAAAAUUUACUUCCUUUUAUAGAAGUUACAAAUUUGAGAUAGACACUUCAAACGGAACUUUUUUCUUCUUUGAAAAAACAUUCACCACAAAAUCUAGAACAGAACCUUACAAUCAAAGCUUCAAAAAACGAAAAUAUCAAUCAAUAAAUAGAGUUUAAAGAUGUAUUAUGAAAAGUAACUAUAUAAAGAUUUUAAAGCCUUGAUUCAACAUAGCAGAAGUGAAUUAAGCAAGAUAAUGAAAUAACUCUAACUAAAAAGUGAUCUAGCAACACAAAUUAAAAAUAAAAAGGAAAGGGUUAUAUAUAUAUAACAUGUACAUAUAAACCAAUGCAGAAAUCAUCUUCUUCAAUAGAACAAAUGCAGAAAACAGUUUCAGCAAUCCGAAUGAAGCCAUGCAUGAAAACAAAGCAGAAGCAUUUGAUUAAAAAUAGUUUACCUGCAAAAGGAAGCAAUGGUGAACAGCAUAGAGAGAGUUGCUGCUGAAUUUCCACCCAAAACAAUUUCCACUUCUAGCUAUAUAGAGUAUUGAUCAAUUCAGAAUUUCGACAACCCUAGAGGAAUCUGCAAUUUUGGCAGGUAAAACAGUUCAUUAAAAAAAGAGAAAAAAUAGGAGAAAAGGCUUUCUUUUCCUGAAUGAAAAGUAAUCUUUUCAGGUUUGGCCCGGCCCUAUUUAUUUUGACCUUUUAUAGCUGCGGGGAGAGGGGAAGUAUGGGUUAAACCUUUACCAUGAUUAAUUUUAAACCAUAAUUCAACUUUCCAACUUUUUAUUAUUUGGAGAAGAUAAAUUUUAAAAAAGAUAUUUUGGAGUUUAUAAAUUAAUUGUUUGUUCCUUGCUAAUUGAAUUCCUGACUAUAUUAUAAUUCCUCAAAUAGAUAGGAAUUCACAUUUUGACUUCAUCGUAAUAUCUAAGAUCUAUUUCAAAUUUAGUUAACUUUGCCUUUCUUACUACUCCCUACGUCUUCUUUUCGUAUCAGAUUCUGGAGAUUCUCUUUCAUUGCUUCAUCAUCAUUAGUACUGAGAUUAAUGAGUUGAUAGAGAUGAAGAUGAAGAAAUAGUGUACUGUCCUCCUUUUGAGCUUUCGGAAUGUUGUUAGCUUUCCUUUUUUGUUUUCUUUUUGCUUUUUGUUAUUUUUACCUGUUUCCAGGUUGGGUUUGGGGCCUUGACCUGGUUUUGGGUUCAGUUUGUACGUCUUUCUUUUUGGUUAAUAAAAAGGCCUAUGGGGCCCUAUGCCUUUAAUUUAAAAAAAAAAAAAAAAUACUCCCUACGUUUCAAUUUGAUUGCCUUACUUUCCUUUUUAUUCCGUUUAAAAAGAAUAUCUUUCCUUUUUUGGAAAUCUUUAGCUUGAACAAUUUAAGACCACAAGAUUCGUUUGAACAAUUUAAAACCACAAGAUUCGAAAGUGUUUUACUUUCCUAAACUCCGUGUCUAGUCAAAAUUAGACUAACAAAAUAAAGCAGAGGGAGUAAGAGAAAGCAAGUAAAUAAGGCAAAAAAAUUUAUUUAUGAAGUGUUUCCUUUUUACACCUUUUUCAAGAAUGAAGUUCUUGGUUUUCAUUUACCUUAACUUUUUCAGCCACAAACUGACAAUAUAGUUGGCACUAAGUUCAUGAUUAAGAAUCUGGUUUAAAGUUUUAAUGACUGAGAUAUAUCAGUUGUAAACUAUCUCUUACAACUUAAUUGUCUUUAUCUGAACCUUUCCAGUUGUGUGACCGAAAAAAUAGUCUUUGGGGAAACCUCCUAUAUCUUCACAUUCCUUGCUAUUUUUCUUCGGUCUUUUAAAUCAACAUCCUGAGAAAAGAGUUUUGAAUUUCUGACUACAAUUAAACUUCCUUGAAUAGAUAGGAAUUCAUAUUGACUUCAUAAUAUCUAAAAUCUAUUUCAGAUUUAGUUAACUUUGACUUUAGGACUAAAAGAACACAAGUAAAUAAGGAAAAAAAUUUAGCGUUGAAGAUUUUGAUUCAUGGUCUUCCGGUGAAGGUGCAAAUACUAAUUAUACUUCCUUGAAUAGAUAGCAAUUCAUAUGUGACUUGCAGCAUAAUAUCUAAAAUUUAUUUCAGAUUUAGAUAACUUUGAUUUUCUUACUAAACGAACGCAAGUAUGGAAAAAAAUUUAGUGUUGAAGAUUUUGAUUCUUUAUUUUUCGGUGAGGAUGCAAAUAUUAAUAUUCAGAUCACCAUCUACUAACUUCCUUCUCUAUUUUUUGAAUAUAAAAUUGAAAAUACCAUUUAUGGCAUUUUUCCUUUUCCUCCUUUUUCAAGAACGAAUUCCUUAAUUUUCAUUUAUUUUAUCUUUUUCAACUAACAUAGUGACAAUGAAGUUAGCACUAAGUUGAUGAUUCAGAAUCUAGUAUAAAGUUUUAAUGUCUCAUCUAUGAUUUAGCCAUGAUUUAGCACUAAGGAACAUCGCUGUAUAUCAGACUGAAAAUGACUUUUUCACUCAGAUACCGUCCUAAAAAUAAAAGUUGGACUCAAAACUAUGAGUUACCACUUGUUGUCUUUAUCUGAUCCUUUCCGGUCUAUGUAAUCACUUGACUAACAAAAUAUUGUCUUAUGCAAAACCUCUUACACUGCUUAAUGCUAAAGCUGAGAUCUCUUUACAUUCACCAAGAAAGGACAAAAGCAGAUAAAGCUUGUAAGGAAGAGAAGGAACAAAUAUGUUCUCCAUUCCUUCAAAAAAUAUUAAUGUACGACAAAAUAGAGAUCAUGACAUAUGACCAAGAAUUGCAUAUGACUGUAAAGGUGGAAAAUGGGAGGGUUGGGUCAAAUUCGGGCGCAUCAAAAUGGGUCAAAGCAAUUAUUGGGUCCCCGCCAAAAAUGGUUGGGUCAAGAUGGGUCAAACAACAGGUCAUAAACCAAUAUCUCCCCUCUUUCAGAACAUAUCACUGUUGUUAGAAGAAACUCAUUGACGUUUUGCAUUUGGGGAACUGGUAAUAUGUAUUAGAGUGUACCCGCGUCUAUGAUUCAAUGACUUGUCCAUGCCAAUGUGAUUUAAUCUAACUAAUUAGACUAAUUGUGCCAUCUAAGCUUACCAAAAAAAUUUGGCCUGAUUUAGUUAUGUUGAAAUUGCACAAAUGAUGGAAACAGCCUUUCUACUUCAUCAGAGGUAGAGGUAUGGACUGCGUACAUCUUACCCCCCAGACCCCACUAAGUGGGAAUACACUGGGUUUGUUGUUGUUGUUGUUGUUGAAAUUGCACAAAUGAUGGAAGAAACAAAAUCAUAAUUACCCUAGUCACCAAAUUUAUUUCAGAUUUAGUUAACUUUGAUUUUCUUAUUAAAUGAACGCAAGUAAGUUAAAAGGGCAGCCCAGUGCACUCAAGCUACCGCUAUGCGCAGUGUCCAGGGAAGGGCCCCACCACAAGGGUAUAUCGUAUGCAACCUUACCUUGCAUUUCUGCCAGAGGCUGUUUCCAAAGCUUGAACGCGUGACCUUCUGAUCACAUGGCAGCAACUUUACUAGUUACUCCAAGGCUCCCCUUCGAAACAAACGAAGUAUGGAAAGAAUUUUUUUUUUUUAUUCUUUAUUUUUCGGUGAAGGUGCAAAUACUAAUAUUCAGAUCACCAUCUACUAACUUCCUUCUCUAUUUUUUGAAUAUAAAAUUGAAAAUACCAUUUAUGGCGUUUUUCUUUUUCCUCCUUUUUCAAGAACGAAUUCCUUAAUUUUUAUUUACUUCAACUUUUUCAACUAAAAUAGUGACAAUGAAGUUAGCACUAAGUUGAUGAUUAAGAAUCUAGUAUAAAGUUUUAAUGUCUCAUCUAUGAUUUAGCCAUGUUUUGCUAUUGCGGAGUUGCGAUAUAUACAUUAAGUAUAAUAUUCCUUGCUAAAUUUUCUUCCGUCUUCUAAAUCACAUCCUGGAAUGUUUUUUGAAUUUCUGCCUUCCUUGAAUGGAUAGGAAUUUAUUACAGAUUUACUUAACUUUGACUUUCUUACUAAAAGAACGCAACUAAAUAAGGAAAAAAAUUUAGAGUUGAAGAUUUUGGUUCUUGGUUUUUUGGUGAAGGUGCAAAUACUAACUUCCUUUUCUAUAUUUUGAAUAUCAAAUUGGAAAUAUUAUUUAUGACGGUUGUCCUUUUCCUCCUUUUUCAAGAAUGAAGUUCGUAUUUUACAUUUACCUUAACCUUUCCAACCGACAUAGUGACAAUGAAGUUAGCACUGAGUUGAUGACUAAGAAUCUGGUGUAAAGUUUUAUUGACUGAUAAGAUUUAGUCAUGCUGUUGAUACUGCUGAACAGAGACUUGUAUUACUCAGUGCUUCUGCACUAAUAUUAAAGGUCUAAGACUUCAAUUUUGCAGAAAACAAAUUGAACUCUGAUUUGUGUCAUCUGGUUGACCUAAAAGCUGGAAGGAACAUCGCUGUGUAUCAGACUGAAAAUGACUUUUUCACUCAGAUACCUUCCUAAAAAUAAAAAUUGGACUCAAAACUAUGAGUUACCGCUUGAUGUCUUUAUCUGAUCCUUUUCGGUCUAUGUAAUCACUUGACUAACAAAAUAUUGUCUUGUGCAAAACCUCUUACACUGCUUAAUGCUAAAGCUGACAUCUCUUUUACAUUCACCAAGAAAUGACAAAAGCAGAUAAAGCUUGUAAGGAAGAGAAGGAACAAAUAUGUUCUCCAUUCCUUCAAAAAAUAUUAAUGUACGACAAAAUAGAGAUCGUGACAUAUGACCAAGAAUUGCAUAUGACUGUAAGGGUGGAAAAUGGGCGGGUUGGGUCAAAUUCGGGCGCAUCAAAACGGGUCAAAGCAAUUAUUGGGUCAAGAGCCAAACCCGCCAAAAAUGGUUAGGUCAAGAUGGGUCAAACAACAGGUCAUAAACCAAUAUCUCCCCUCUUUCAGAGCAUAUCACAGUUGUAACAACGAAGAAACUCAUUGAUGUAUUAGAGUGCACCCGCGUUUAUGAUUCAAUGACUUAUCCAUGCCAAUGUGAUUUAAUCUAGCUAAUUAGACUAACUGUGCCAUCCAAGCUUACCAAAAAAAUUUGUCCGGAUUUAGUUAUGUUGAAAUUGCAUAAAUGAUGGAAGUAACAGAAUCAUAAUUACCCUAGUCACCAAAUUCCGCAUCUACAUCAUUGAUCACUAGGCACACUAAUCAUCCCAUAGUCAAAACACUCAAGGUCAGAAAGAGAACUGAUUAGAGUAACAAUCCACAAUUGUUAUGCGAGAAGUAAGGUAAGUUUACCAUAACACAACCAGAACACCAUAAGCAUUCUGAUAAACUACACAAGUUUAUACAAACGAAACGACUAAAGGAUUCAAGUUAUUACAGUUAAGCCAGUACCAUGGACAGUAGAAUUAAGCUGCAUUCACAUUCGAGAGGACCUGUAGCAUGAGUAACUAAGAGCUAUCGUUGUGGCAUCAAGCAUUUGAUCAGCAGCAAACAUGAUCUUCCACUGCAGCAAGAUCUAUUAGAAAAGUAGUACAAAGAAUUACUAAUUGAUCCAUAUGAAUGAGAAAUCAGUUUUGCAUCUCAAACAGAACCAUAUGAAGAAACUCCUGUAAACAAAUACUAAAUAGAUAAAUUAGCCGCUUUCCAUUGCAAGUGCAACAAUAUCAAGAAACUACAACCCAUAAACAGAUAACUGUGGAGUAAGUUUCUUUUUUCGAGACUACAUAUUUAACGAUAGCAAUCAUGUCAUGUAAGUACCACGACAUGCCACAAAUGAGUGAAAUAACAUGAAUACAAGCAUAUUAAUGAAUAGGGGUUGAAUAAAUAGGGCAAUGGAUAGAGGCUGUCGCAAGGAUAAGUUCAGCAUCUAAGAAAAGAAAGCACAAGGACAGUGCAAAGUCACCAUGAACUAGCUAACAAGACUAUACGCAAUCAGUAUCAGAUCUCCCAAUGCAUUUUCUCUAUCAAAUAAUAAAAUGACAUACAUGAAUUUACAGAGCAAUUAGAUCAAGCAUGCACAUGACACACAUCAGAAUAUGGCUAAGAAUCACAUUUGAACUCCAAAUGUGAUGGUUGCUGAGAUAUUUGGCAACCUAAACUGCAUUCACGUUUAUGCUGCUCACACCUGAUUUUUGGCAUUUGCAACUCAACAUCCUAUUCCUACAUUAACAUUACUAAGCAUGAUUGUGUCAGAGCCAACAUUCGACGGGUACCUACUAGAUUAACAUAGUUCUCCAUCCUCUACAACCGUGAUGGAGAUAAGUACUAGAAAUAAUCCAUCCUCUUCAAUUUCCUUUUAUUUUCUUCCCCUUCCUCUUCAUUCAAAUAGACUAGCCCUAAAAAGAAGAGGGAUCAAAGAGGAAAAAAAUAAAGUUGGAUUUAAAGAAUUUAAUCUACCCGACCAUCAACCUCUCUACUUCUUCGGAGGUAGCGGUAUGGACUACGUACAUCUUACCCUCCUCAGACCCCACUUUGUGGGAACACACUGGGUUUGUUGUUGUUGUUGUUGUUGAAUCUACCCGACUAUGAGAAUCAAACUGAUUAAUAUUAUAUUUAUCUUCUGGAAGACACUGAAGUAACCCUAAAUCAUUUUCCAAAUGAAAACAAGAUAAAUAUAAACGUUGAUCAUCCAUUAACUAUAUAUAAUGUCAGUUGAGCAAGUGGUUGAAGUAACCCUAGUUAAGUUUUCAAUUAAAACAAAGAAAGAAAACUAAGUUUGGAACAUCCGAACACAUAUAGCUCAAAUCUAAAAUUGGUCUAUAAUUUUUUAUUUGCUUAUCUAGGGUUUUUGGACCUGACAAUCGAAUGAAUCAAAAAAUAGAUGACAGGAUGAAACAUGAGUUACAUGUCACUGCCUAAACCUUUUUGUUGAGCGAAAUUAAGCUGUUGAAGUAACAUCUUAGGUAUGAUGAGAACUUAAUCACCGAAAAGAAAGUCACUUCAAAGUUUUCAUCACCAUAGUAGCAUAUAAUUUAGGCAAGAUGGUUUGUUCUCUGAAAGUCAAAUAUAACAUCCACUCAACAACAACAACAAACCCAGUGCAAUCCUACAAGUAGGGUCAUCAGAGAUAGGAUGUAUGCAGACUUAUCCUACCUUUGCGGGUUAGAGAGGUUGCUUUUGGGAAUCCCACAACUACUUCCACUCACACCCUAAAACCGCAUCAUAAGAUGGUGAAUGUUUUUGUUACUCUAGCUUCAUUGAGAAUCCAAAGUGGAAAACCCUUACUGACACGAUUGCAGGAAACAUAUAGAUGUACCUCUAGUCUUCUAACAUGAAGAGAAAGCCAUUGACGCGUUAACUGCUCAUGCAAAGUGUCAAAUCUCUGGUACCAUAGCUGUCCUGGUUUCUCUAUCUUGGCAUUCACGCAAACGACAAAAAAGGAGAAAAUAAAUGGUUACAACUAACCAAAUCCAACUAUCCUAGUUGUUCGGACUUGCUCUGGAUUUACUAUCCAAUACAACAUACAUUAAGUCGACGGGGUUGGUAACAAAUUUAAUCCCACUUUACCUACCGACCACGUGUUCAAUAGACAUUAGUAUGACCAAUAAUUACUUGUUGAACAAGCAUGUGGAAUACAUAAAAAACUAUAAGAGUUGGAAACACUUUCUGUACUUCGCAACAUCGAUAAAGACAUCAGAUAUCACUUAUCAGUUAUUUCUUAUGAUACUAGGUAAUGGCUACGGAUGACACAUCCCAAGCAUGCAUGUAUAAUCAUUGCAUUGGUAAGAAAAUUGAAACUUAUGUUUUGGCUUUAUCUUGGCAUCAACACCAGUAGUGGAAAAAGCUUGUAAUUUCCUAGUAAGAGAAUCCAUCAUUAACUUCUUUAUAGUACAGAGUAUCAAACAAAUGUGCGAAAGUACAUCGAUCUGUUGUCUAAAUUUGCAUACCCACAAAAUCCAGAUAUGCCAAAUCAUUUUCUCCACUAAUGCAAAAUAUAGAAGAAGUGACUGAUAAAAGUGUAGACUCUCGACUGUACAUUCAACUCCUAUCUCCAUACAUCAAUGUGAGCUGCAGAAAAGGUUCGUCUUUUUAUAAGUGAUGCACAAAAUUAUACAAGUACUUUACUCGAGUUUAGUUAAGAUUGCCAUAAAUGCAAGUCUUGCUUAGAUAACAUUCCUUUUGAGAAGAUGGUCUAUCAAAAACCACCCCGCUACCCCUUAGUUAUACAAGUACUUCACUCGAGUUUAGUUAAGAAUGCCAUAAAUGCAAGUCCUGCUUAGAUAACAUUCCUUUUGAGCGGACGGUCUAUCAAAAACCGCCCCUCUACCCCCUUCCUACCAUCCCGAGGCAUGUUGUUGUUGCCGUAAAUGCAAGAAGACAAACAUAUAAAAAGCGAAGAUAUUUGUAGCUACCAUCUGAUUGAAUGAAACUAAAAAAAGAACAAACUUUGUAAUUUUAAUAACAAAACUAGUUUAACUACUCAGGAAAAAAGAAGAAAGUUACCACAUUUAACGAAAAUGGAAUAAAGCAAUUUGACCAAUUUUAUUGCAAGGAUACCUUUAAUCAUCGACAUUACCCUGUGCACUGCUCUCUCCACUAGCAAUGGUCUUAUCCUCAGCAACCUGCCACGCCUGAGGCUGGGCAUAGACAGAUGGGUAAACCCUAGGCUUAGCAGUACUUCUAAUCAUCACCUCAGAUGGAGCAGUCUGCCCCAUGGGUGGAUUGAAGUUCUGAAUACCACUUGACGCAGUCCCUCUAAUCAUCACCUCAGAUGGAGCAGUCUGCCCCAUGGGUGGAUGGGCGUUCUGAACAUCACUUGAUGUGGAGCCAAGCAUGCUGGGCCCAAAACCAGCACCCUCUUCCCUGAUCUCAUCCUUAUGAACAAUGUCAACAAGGAAAUCAAAAAGCUCAGUCCGCUCAAUCGCCUUGGCGACAUCCUUCUUCUGCACCAUCCGUCGUUUAUUCUCCUCCGUGUUAAGCCACGAGUGGAGAGUAAGUUCCUGUAUGAACAUUUCACAUGCUUUCACCAUCAACAUUGGUGCUUCCCCGGAGACCUUGCAAACAUCCUCGUUAUCUUUCAUCAACCUCUUGACACGAGCAAGCGGAAGUUUGUUGUUCUUGAAAUUGUUCGUCUCGUUAAUUUCCUUGAGCUGACACGCCCAAAAUGCUUCCAACUUCUGUUGCUGUUCCUGUUCUUUUUGAUGAUGAUGAUGCUGCUGAAGGAGUUGGUUGUAGGGAACCUGCAGUGGGUACCCAGCGGCAGCGGCCGCCGCCACUGAAUUCUCCCCUAGUUGUUGUUCCUGCUGCUGCUGCAGGACAUGGUAGUAGGGUACCACCAUUGGAUACCCAGCCGCAGCUGCAUUCUCUUCCAACCGCUGUUCUUGUUGUUGCUGCUGAAGGAGCUGGUAGUAGGGUACCUGCAGUGGGUACCCAGUUGCCGCUGCCACCGCCGCAGCAGCAGCUGCAUUCUCUGCCAACGGCUGUUCCUGCUCCUGUUGCUGCUGCUGCUGCUGCUGAAGGAGCUGGUAGUAGGGUACCUGCAGUUAGGAGUGAAAUCCGAUAUUUGGUUAGGUUUGGUUUGGUUUUGAAUUUUAAAAAAUCGAUACUAAUUUGGUUUGGUUUGGUUUUACUCUAAAAUAAUCGACAAAAUAACCAAACCAAACCGAUAUAUAUAUAUAUAUAUAUAUAUAUAAAUUAUUCAUAAAUACAAUAUAAAUAUUUGUUACAAUUUAUAUUUUAAUCAUGAUUUAACUGUAGUCGUAACACAUCCAGUCAUAUGUCUUCACCCAAUUGAUAGUACUUAUGAGAUUCUAAGUGAAUUUAGCACUUUGAAUGACAAAUGAUACUAAUUGUGAAAAUAAUAUCUUGUUGUAUGUUGAAAUUUACAGCUGACAUUAAUUAAACUAUAGACAAUUACUAGUUUUAAUUUUCUUUUUGAACCUUAUUGAGCAAUAAGUUUAUGUGUUCACUUUUUUGGGUUUAUCAUAUCAUUCUGUUAAAUGUAGUUAUUCCAUGGCUUUAUCGAAGUAUAACACCGAGUUGAUAUCUUAGUUUCAAGGUUGAAAUACAACACUCGGUUGACAUCUUAUAUGUUAGAUUGGAUUUUUUUAAAAGAAAUUUCAACUUUUAUCAUUAGCUAAAGUAAUAAACCGAAAAAAACAAACCGAACCGAACUAAACCAACGAGAACCAAACCAACGGUUAGUUUUUUGUUUGGUUUGGUUUUAGAAAUUUAAAAAACUAGGUUUGGUUUCGAACAGUAACGGACCCAUGAACACCCUACCUGCAGUGGGUACCCAGAUUCCGCCGCCACCUCUACACUCCCCACCGAUUGUUGUUCCAGUUGUUGCUGCUGUUGCUGGAGUUGGUAGUAGGGUACUUGCAGUGGGUACCCAGCUGCCGCCGCCGCCGCUGCAUUCACCGCCGCCGCCGCCGCCGCCGCCGCCGACUGCUGUUCCCGUUGCUGCUGCCGCUGAAGGAUAUGGUGAUAGGGUACCUGCAUUGGGUACCCCGCCGCCGCUGCCCCCGCAGCAUUCACCGCCGAUUGCUGCUCCUCCGGCUGUUGGAGAUGGUAAUGGGGUACCUGCAUUGGGUACCCACCUCCGGCCACUGCAUUCUCCGACGAGUUUUUCGAUGUGUUCUUCAUUGAGCUUUCAACGAAUGGGUGACAAAAACGAGGUUAACAAACACAGAGAGUGAGAAAUGGGUGUGUUGAGCUUCUGUUCAUACUCACUAUUUGUAACAAACUCCAUUUGCACUAUUUCUAACAAACUCCAUUUGCACUGUUUCUAACAAAUUCCAUUUGUACAUAUGAGCGAUUAAACGGAGGAGUGAGGUCCACCAUCCUCGGUAACGGACGGAACCUCGUUUCUUUGUAAGCGUAGCCGGUGGAAUCAUCUGAGUAAAAAAACGCCUCAGCCACAUCCAUUUUUUUGUGAUUGUCGAAAACGACAACUUCUCAACAGCCAAAAUCAUGAAUUGAACUGAAAAGCAGGUUCAAUUCAACUGCUAUAAAGAGACGAUCCAAAUAUAAUAACGUCAAUAACGUAAAUGCUGGUAACCUAAUAGUCUGUAAAGGCAAAAUAAUAGCUAAUAAGAUAAAAUGUUGAACCGAAAGGCAUUAGCAUUUGAAAGAUUUGAGUGUAAGUGGUUUUAACGAGGUGGAGACGAUGAUAAUGAAAACAGGUCGGGUGAAAAUGGGUGAGUUGGGUUGGUGUGCGUAUACGUAUGUAUGUUGGGUUGGGGUAGAAGAAUUAUAUUGUAAAAAAAAAAUUGUUAGAAUAAAAAUAUAAUAAGAUUUAAAAAAAAUAAUUAGUGAUGUAUUUUAUUCUUUCACUUUGAAUUUAUUUAUCAUAUUUUAAUCUUACAUAAUUAUUAAAAAAGUAAUUAUUUGUAUAGUAAAUUUAUCAUAUUAUUUCUAUUAAUUGAUGUUUAAAGGGUGUUUGAAUUAGUUUAUUUUAAAAUAAUUUAAUUUUUAAGUAUUUUUUACUUUUAAAGAUAUUUGGCAAAAAUAGAAAGUAUUUUUACACAUUUAACAAUACGCAAGUACAUACAAAAAGAAAAGGCCAAGUGGUUGCUAUAGUAGUUUUGGCUUUUAGUUUUUGCUAAAUUUAUUUGGCACGGAAAAAUAGACAUCUAUGACACGGUAAAAAUUUAUAUAUACCCGAUAUAUACAUCAAAUUAAUUUUUUUUAUCAUAAUUAUGUAAUUAAAUUAAGUAAAAUAUAUAUUGAUUAAUCAUGGUUAAGUAACAUCAAUUUUAAAUUCAAAUACAUGGCAUGCAAGUAUUGGCUUGGUAUAUACACCGGGUGCGUAUAAGUUUUUUUCCGCUAUGACACUGUCUUUGUAGUAUUUUUAUAAUUAACUUGUCAACUAAGGAUGGAUUAGUAACUUCAUAAAUUUUUAUGACUCAAAGAUACCCUUUAAAUUUUAAAAUACUUUACCGAAACAACAAACUACUCUCUCUCUUCCUAAAAAAAACCGUAUAUAUUCACGUAUAUAUUAUUUAAGACUAGUUUUUGACACGUGCUUUGCACGUAUAUGUCAAAUGGUGCAUUCUCCGAUAAUUUUUUCGAUGUGUUCUCCAUUGUGCUUUCGACGAAUGGGCGAUAAAAACGAGGUUAACAAUACAGAGAGUGAGAAAUGGUGUGUUGAGCUUCCGCUCAUACUCAUUAUUUCUAACAAAUUGAAUUUGUACAUAUUAGCAGAUAAACAAGGAGAGUGAGGUCCACCAUCAUCACUAACAGACGGAACCUCAUUUCUCUUUUGAGGGGAAAAUUGUCUUACACUCAUCCAAUUUUUUGUGCUAGUUGAAAAGGACAAACUCCUCAACAGCUAAAAAACAUGAAUUGAACUAAAAAGCAGGCUUAACUCAACAUGAUAAAGAGCCGAUCCAAAUUCAAUAACGUAAAUGCUGAUAAUCGAAUAGUUUAUAAAGGCAAAAUAACAGCUAAUAAGAUAAAAUAUUAAACGGAAGGCAUUAGCAUUUGAAAGUUUUGAGUGUAGGAGGUUUUAAUGGAAGUUUUAAGAUGGAGAAGAUGACAAUGAAAAUAGGUCGGGAGAAAAUGGGUUGGGUGUGUGUGCAUAUAUAUGUUGGGUUCGGUAAAAGAAUUAUAUUGGAGAAAAUUUUAAUCUAUAGAGUAUAUGUAUAAUUUAUAUUCUCUUUCUCUCCUCUCUUUCUCUCUCUCUGUAUUAUAAUUAUAAUAUAUUAAAAGUGUGAAUACCUUUAGAAAUGUGAUUUGAACCUUUCACCCUUCAUUAAAAAUCUCCACAAUAAAUGAAAUUGUCUUUUCACUUAUUUCCUGCAAUUAUUAUAUCAUUAUAUUUAUAAUAAAGGAUUCCUAAAUAUAUGGUAAGAAAAAAAUAUAUGAAAAUUUAUUAUUGCUGAAUUUUUUUUUUCUCUUUGUGUACUUGAGAAAGGAUUCCUAUAUUCAAAAUAAGAGGGAAAAAAGGAAAAUAAGAUGAUUUUUAUCAAAAUUUAAAUAAUAAAUUUAAUAGCAGACAUCUUUUAAUAAAUUAAAACAAGGAAAAUAACUAAAAGCACACGAUUUUUUUUUUUUGCUUCAAAUUUUGGUAGUAUUAGACCUCUAUUUUUUUUUACAAAAUAAAAAGAAAUAUAAUUUUAAUAGUAUAUUAUUGUUCGAACGUGCAGGACAUCUGCUAUAUUUGGGAAUCUUUAUUAUUUUUAUAUUAUUGUUAUAAAUGUAUUUACAUUAUAGUGAAUGUCUAUCAAGAUCUAUUUGAUAUCUAUUAGGAUUUGAAGCAUUCGUCUUUUACUCAGACUAGGAGUAAAUUUUUCCUAUAAAUAGAAGGGUUUCGUUCAUUGUAUUUACAAUCUUAUGAUCUCUUAUCCCUCAAGAGAAGUAAUAAGAAUUACUCUCUCUUCUCUCUCUACUCUUCUUCUUUGUUCUUUCUUAUUUUAUAACACGUUAUCAGCACAAAGUCUCUACUUUAUUUCAAUUAGUCAGACGGUAAGCUUGAAUCUUGGUAUGGGUAAGAUAUCUACGCGUGAUGUAAACUGAAAAUUUUGAUGGCUAAUAAAUAAUGAAUUUGUAUAAGGAAUAUAUAAUCUUUCUAUGUACGUACAAUCACUAGCCACUGUUGCUUAUUUAAAGUUAGCUUUUAAGGGGAAAAAAAAUCUACAUUAUAUGUAUGUAAUUUGCUGGCAAUGUUCUCUGUGUUGGUUACUUUUGCCGUAGCUAGCCACAUUUUUUUUUCUUUACAUAAAUUGUUAUGACAGUAUAGCCACGACAUGUGUAUUGCUACUUAUAUGUCCUAUUGUUUUGAGUACGAGAAAAUUGAAAAGUCCUACAUAUCGUUGAGUGUUAAUGUUAUUGUAUUAAUUUUGUAGAAUUUAUCCUAAACAAUCUUGUAAAUUGGAUAUCUCAUUGUGCANNNNNNNNNNNNNNNNNNNNNNNNNNNNNNNNNNNNNNNNNNNNNNNNNNNNNNNNNAGAUGAUAAUAUGUUGGGUUCAAGUCCCAUCGAUUCAUGCCUAAGAUGCCUUUAUAUAGAUCAAAUAUUGAGUUUGAAUCUCAAUACACCAUAUUGAUGAUAUUGUGAUGGCUAAGGUAAAAUAAUGGGUGUUUGAUGAAAAGUCAUGAAAUUCGACCCAUUGAAUAUGCUUCAUUCCAUUAGGUGAAUAUGGUAGCAAUGUAUGAUAAGUCUAAAAUAUGACAACUUACUUUAUUCUUGAGGUAUAUGUGGUAGCAGUGCAUAAUAUGUCUGAAAGAAGACAAGUGAUUGAAUGCACGAAUAUAUGCGUGGAGAGACAAUAUGAUAAUGAUCAUCAAAAGUGAUGAUAUUUUCACACGCUUAUAUGAUUAUAAGAUAUGCUAGAGAAAAAAAAUAAUUUUNNNNNNNNNNNNNNNNNNNNNNNNNNNNNNNNNNNNNNNNNNNNNNNNNNNNNNNNNNNNNNNNNNNNNNNNNNNNNNNNNNNNNGGCUUAAGGCACGAUUAUAUUUCAUUCCUGGGGAAUGAGAAACUUAUUAAUGCAAACAUGCACUUGAUUGUGCUUGUAUCACAACUCACCUCCGAAAGAGGUUGAAUAAUUUUGAAACCUACUUCUGAAGUAGUAAAUCUAAAAUUUAUUCAUGUAAGAGUAAAUCUAAAAUUUACUAAAGAAAAAGUACAUGUCAUGGUAAACUUGGAGUUUACUAGAAUAAAAGUUCAUAAAUUGAUAUGAACAAUUGUGACAUCUUGAAGAUGUGCAUGUCUUGAAGAACUAGAAGUUUUUUCAAGAAUUGUUUAUGUCGUUUGUUCUCAUGACAAGUUGGUUGGACCACCUAAUAUUGGGCUUGAAUCCCUUCAAAUCUGACAAUUAUAAAAGGUGAAUAAGGGUUCGUUCACCUAUCAUGUGAUAUGUUGAAAAGAUGCAUCAAUAAGAUGAUCACAUGUACAUUCAUGGUCAACCUACGUUUGACAUUCAUAAAGUUACUUGUUCAAUAUAAAUUGAGCAUAAUUUUCAGAUUGUGCAAUCAAGAAAGUUAUCUUGACGAUGAUGGUUAGGCAUUGAAUGCCUUUGAUAAAUAGCUAAACCAUCACUAAUGAGAACAAAGCUUCAUGUGUUGGUCUGAAAUAUAAUAUGUUGCAUACAAUAACACUUGUAUGCAUUAGACCAAUAAAUUAUGAUUAUUUCUUCUCUCUCAAUUGGUUCAAGGUCGGGAACUAAUUAUUUCAUCUAAUAUUUUGAUGUGCAGUAUACGAUUAAUGAAUAUACCAUAAUGCACAAAGAUGGAUUCCUCAAAGAAGUAGAGGAUGUAUAUUAGUUUUUCUAACAUAAGGGGGAUAUUAUAAGCGCUGUGAAAUAUGUUAGGAAUUAUUAUCACAUCCUCAUCCAAAAGAUAACUCAAGUCAAAUGUCGAAAGCAUCUCAUAUCAAGCGCAGGUGCUCUUAUUUUGUGUUUCUCAAAGACAGAGUCUAUGCAUGCGUAAAGCGUAGUAGACUAAUCGGUUCUAAAUGAAAUAGUCCUUGAAAAAUAAGGAGCAAAUAAUCAUAAUAAGAAAGCAAUGAGCUCUUGAAGAGCCUAUGACAUAACACUUCAUAAAACCUUAUGAGAGGUUCAUGUAUCUGAAAAUAAUGAAGUGAUUAGAUCUCAAAAUAUUAUGUCUCAUUGUGAUCAGAUACGAAAUGAUAUAUCAUCAAUAUAUUUGACACAAUAUUGACGCAAUAUUGAGAAAGAUUACAAGGAUCUGAAUUCUACGUUUAUUUAAGCAAGCUGACGUAGAAACAUUUAUCAAGUGACAUGAAAGGAUGCAUUUUGGUAAGCGUAAAACUUAUUUGAUUUGCAGUCCAGACACUUGAAGAUGUCACUUAUGAAAUGUUGAAUAUUAUCACUUGACAAAACUUAUGUGAAAACUUUUAAGGAUUCAAACUACUUGAAGCAUAUAAAAGUUUCUGGGAAACUUAUUUAUAAUCCUUAUAUUGUAUAAGCUUAUUGCUUGAACAUCAUUGAAACUCUUGGAGAGUUUUCAAAGCAAUAGAUUAUUUGCUGAAAUUCGAAAUAUGUCGAAUUAGAUUGGUUAUGAAGUGCCAUAUCUUAGUGCAAUUGAUGUAAUCAUGUACCUUGCAAAUACUAUAAGGCCUAUAGCCUUUCCAGUCAAUUUGUUAGCAAGGUAUAUUUCUGCUUCUACUAUGAGACAUCAAAUGGGAUAAAACACAUGAGUUUAUUUUAUUCUAAAGAUUGCAGUCCCGAUCUUACUGGUCAUGCUGAUGUUGGGUACUCAUCUAACCCGCACAAAUCUCGAUCUCAAACAUACAAUAUGUUCACAUGUGGGGAUACUGCCAUAUCUUGGAGAUAUACAAAGCAGUCUAUUGCAGCCACUUCAUCAAAUCAUGCUGAGAUAAUAGGUAUUCAUGAAGCAAAUUGAGAAUGUGUAUGGUUGAGGUCCAUGAUACAUCUCAUUCGAGAAAAAUGUGGUGUGAAAUAUGACAAUCUACCUACAAUUUUAUACAGAGAUAAUUCAACAUACAUAGCACAUCUUAAGGGAGGAUUCAUAAAUGGAGAUAGAAUGACGCACAUUUUGCCAAAAAUUUUCUACAUACAUGAGCUACAAAAGAAUGAUGAUAUUAACGUGCAAAAAAUUCGUUCAACUGACAAUGUGACUGAUUUAUUCACCAAAUCUUCUCCAAUUGCAAUUUGCAAGAAGAUGCUGCACAAGAUCGAGAUGCAAAGGUCAAGGAUGAUCUCAUUAAGGGGAGUUAAUACGCGUUGUACUCUUUUUCCCUUAUGAGGUUUUGUCCCACUGGGUUUUCAUUGUAAAGUUUUUAAUGAGGCAGCCUAUAUGCGUAUUGUUAGAGAUGUGUACUCUUUUUCCUUCACUAGAUUUUUUUUCACUGGGUUUUUUCUAGUAAGGUUUUAACGAGGUACAUUAUCUACCAAUUAGACAUUCAAGGGGGAGUGUUAUAAAUGUAUUACAUUAUAGUGAAUGUCUAUCAAGAUCUACUUUGAUGUCUAUUAGGAUUUGAAGCACAUGUCUUUUACUCAGACUAGGAGUAAAUUCCCCCUAUAAAUAGAGGGGUUUUGUUCAUUGUAUUUACAAUCUUAUGAUCUCUCAUCCCUCAAGAGAAGUAAUAAGAAUUACUCUUUCUUCUCUCUCUACUCUUCUUCUUUGUUCUUUCUUAUUUUAUAACAAUUAUAUUAUUAUCAGAAAAUUUUUAUGAUUGCACCCCGAAUGAAAAACUUUCAUAUUUAGUUAAUCCUUUUUGGACGAUGGUUUAGACUUCUACAAAUUAAGGAUUCUUUCUUUCUAAAAUAAUAUAAAAGCAUUUACAAGGUACAUAUUGGUGGAACAAAUAUUUUUAUAACUAGUUUUUCGAUGAACUUUAAAGAUGUUGUCUAAUAAUCACAAAAUGUCAGACUUUAUUGAAUUGUUCUAAUAUUUUAAUUAGAGAAAAUGCAUCAAAUUCCCCCUGAACUUGUCCGCUCAACUCACUUUAGCACUUAAACUAAAUUUUUUAUUUAUUUACCCCCUAACAUCUUUAAAGUGAUUUAAUUUUAACCCUACAGCUGAUGUGGCAUUUAAAAAAAUAUGCAUGAAUAUUAAAAAAAAAAUACUAAUAUUUUAUAUAUAUUUUUUUAAAAAACUACUAUUCCCUCCGUUUAAAAAAGAAUGAUCUACUUUUCUUUUUAGUCCGUUUAAAAAAGAAUGACCCCUUUCCUUUUUUAACAAUACUUUAAUUUCAUCUUUCCACAUGACAUGUUUAGGACCACAAGAUUAAAGGACAUUUUGGUACAUUUGACACAACUUUAAUUUAAGGCCACAAGAUUUAAAAGUCUUCUUUAUUUUCUUAAACUUUGUGCCGAGUCAAAGUAGGUCAUUCUUUUUUAAACGGAGUGAUUAAUGUAUAUAUAUAGAAAAAGAAAAAGAAUUAAAAAAAUUCCUCUUCUUCUUCACCCAUCCCACCCCCAAACCCGUCAACACACUCCUCUUUCACCAAAUCCACCACCAAACCCACCAACAUCCCCACCCCACUUUUCCCCCAAUUACGAAAACUGUCAUCCCCCAUCUUUAAUUUCCCCUCCUUCAACCCCUUAGAUCAAUAAAAAAGAAUGAAAAUUAAAAAAUCGACAUGGUUUGGAUGUUUGGUUGUUGAUUUUAGAGAAUUUGGUGUUGAUUUGAUCAAAUUUUUCAAGUGGAUUGAGAUUUUUAUUACUAUUUUAUGGUAUUUUUCGAUGGUGGUAAUUGAAUUUUUCAAGUGGGUUGAAUUUUUCGGCAAAAAUUUAUCAAAAAAUCUGACAGGUGUGGCUAUGCGUGGGUGGACGGAGGAAGAUGGAGGUGUGGCAGUGUGGGGGUGGACGGGGGUGGAUGGUGUUUGUGUGCAGGUGGCGGUGGAUGGGAGGUGGUGUAAUACCCCAAAAAAUGCAAAUUAAUCUUAGCACCAUAUUUCAAGCUUAUGCAUAGUACAUCAUGGUUCUUUGGUAGUUUUAUGAUCAAGUUUGAUGUUAAUUAAGGUCUCAAAUACGUCCUAGCUAUUAGAUGAAUCAAAACAUUCCUUACCGAUUGAAUUCUUAGGAAGGAUAUUGGUAUAGUCAAAUUUAANNNNNNNNNNNNNNNNNNNNNNNNNNNNNNNNNNNNNNNNNNNNNNNNNNNNNNNNNNNNNNNNNNNNNNNNNNNNNNNNNNNNNNNNNNNNNNNNNNNNNNNNNNNNNNNNNNNNNNNNNNNNNNNNNNNNNNNNNNNNNNNNNNNNNNNNNNNNNNNNNNNNNNNNNNNNNNNNNNNNNNNNNNNNNNNNNNNNNNNNNNNNNNNNNNNNNNNNNNNNNNNNNNNNNNNNNNNNNNNNNNNNNNNNNNNNNNNNNNNNNNNNNNNNNNNNNNNNNNNNNNNNNNNNNNNNNNNNNNNNNNNNNNNNNNNNNNNNNNNNNNNNNNNNNNNNNNNNNNNNNNNNNNNNNNNNNNNNNNNNNNNNNNNNNNNNNNNNNNNNNNNNNNNNNNNNNNNNNNNNNNNNNNNNNNNNNNNNNNNNNNNNNNNNNNNNNNNNNNNNNNNNNNNNNNNNNNNNNNNNNNNNNNNNNNNNNNNNNNNNNNNNNNNNNNNNNNNNNUAUAUAUAUAAAUUGAUGGCUUGACAUGAAACACACGUAUACUUGACUAGUAUGUAUGAAAAAUGUGAAGUAUAUUACAAAUAUUGUUUGAACUUUUUGCCUUCACUAAAAGUCUCUACUUUGGUCAAAAUCAUAUUUUUCACUAUUUUUCUAAUACUUAAGAAUUGAAAAUUAAUCAAAUAUUUAUAGUAAAAUAUUUUCUUAUUAAAAUUCAUUAAAAUUAAUGACAACUAAUAUAUUUUUCAUUAGUUUAAGAAUUCUAAACCAACUAAAGUUGAUUUUAGAAAGAUUUGAAAAAUCUAGAAAUAAAUAGAAAAGCAUUAGAAUAAAAGAAAUAUAAGAAGUGCCAAAUUUUUAAAAGUUUUAAGUAAGUAAUCAAAGAUUUUCUAAGGAUUUAAUUUUAAAAAUAAGAAAAUGUUAUAUAUAUAUAUAUAUAUAUAAAAAUUUUAAAAAAUAAUCAUACUACAAAUAUGAUACAAAUCGAUGUGUCUCUCUUAGCCUCUAAUAGUAAGAAAAAGACGUAUUGUAUGACAAGCGCAAAAGUGACGAUUCAUUAACCACUUGAAAGUUUUAGUGGUAAAAUACACAUGUGCUUACCGUAAAAUAUAUGUUAUAUUUAUAUUGUUGUAUUAAAGUGCGAAAAUUUUUUAAAUAAUAACUUUUUAAAUUUAAUUAAAACCUUCACAAUAGAUAAAAUCGUUUAAUUUUAAAAAAUCAAAGGUUACACGUGCGAGACACAUGCGGUUAAAAUAGUUAGAAUAAAAAUAUAUUCAAAUUAAAAUAAAUUUAAUUAGUGAUGUAUUUUACUCUUACACUUUGAAAUUAUUUGUCAUAUUUUAAUCCGACACAAUUAUUAAGAAAAAAAUUAUUGAUGUAGUAACUUUAUCAUAUUAUUAUUAAUUGAUGUUUAAAGGAUGUUUGAAUUGACUUGUUUUUAAAUGUUUUGGCUUUUAAAUAUUUUUUUUAAUUUUUAAAGAUAUUUGGCAAAAAUAAAAAGUGCUUUUAAAUAUUUAACUUUAAACAAGUACAAAAAAAAAAAGUCAAAAGUGGCUGCUACCUAAUUUUGGCUUUUGACUUUUAGUUUUUGAUAAAUUUAUUUGAAUGAAAAAAAAUGACAUGUAUGACACUGUUUUUGUGAUAUUUUCGUAAUUAACUCAUCAACUAAGAGUGAGUUAGUAACUUCUCAAAUUUUUAUUACCCAAGAAACCUUCCAAACAAUAAAAUCACUUUAUCGAAACCACAAACUUCUCUCUCUCUCUUCUGCCAGCAAAAAAAAAACACUAUCCAAGAUUUUAAUCUCUGCCCAAUAAAUUUUUGCAUAAGAUUCUAUCUCACCCAACAAUAAUUUUGUGUGAGACCAUUCUAAUUUUUUGACAAGUGUUUUAAUGGGUCUUAUUUUGUCAGUCAAUCCUUACCCCUUCAUUUUUUCAAAUUCUUUUUUUUUGGUUGUUUUAUUUUUGGGGUGGUGGUGGUGGUGGUAAAUGUUCUCUUCAUUUUCUCUCCCGUGUCCCUUUUCUCUUCAGAUAUUUUAUAUUCGACUUCAACAUAAUUCAAACACUCAAAAUAAGUAAUUUUGAAUAUAAAGUAGGCUUUUAGAAUUAUAAAAAUAUAAAUUACUACCUCCGUCUUAAUUUGUAUGAGUUACUUUGACUUGACACGAAGUUUAAUAAAGAAAAAAAAAAUUUAAAAUUUGUGAUCUAAAAUAAGUGAUAGAUAUUUGUGUGGCUAUAAAUUAUUUUACUAAGAAAUAUAUUAAGAUUAAAAAAAUUAAUUAGUGAUGUACAUUACUCUUUCAUUUUGAAUUUAUUCAUCACUAUUAAUCUGACACAAUUAUUAAGAAAAUAAUUAUUGAUGUAAUGACUUUAUCAUAUUAUUAUUAAUUGAUGUUGAGAGGGUGUUUGAAUUGACUUAUUUUUAAAUAUUUUAGAUUUUUAAUAUUUUUCUUAUUUUUAAAGAUAUUUGGAAAAAAAUAAAGUGCUUUUAAAUAUUUAACUUUAAGCAAGUACAAAAAACAAAAAGCCAAAAAUGGUUGCUACCUAAUUUUGACUUUUAGUUUUUGAUAAAUUUAUUUGGCGUGAAGAAAAUGACACGAAAGACACUGUUUUUGCCUUAUUUUCGUAUUAACUCGUCAACUAAGGUGAAUUAGUAACUUCACAAAUUUUUAUUACCCAAGAUAUCCUCCAAACUUUAAAAUCACUUGUUAUCGAAACCACAAGCUACUUUUCUCUCUUUUCUUCCAGCAAAAAAAAAUACUGCCCAAGAUUUUGCUUUUUGCCUAAUAAAUUUUUGUAUAAAAUUUUACCUCACCCACCAAUAAUUGUGUGAGACCAUUAUAGUUUUUUGACAAGUGUUUUAAUGAGUCCUAUUUUAUUAGUCCACCCUUUUCCCUUCAUUUCUUCAAAUUCUUCUUUUUGGUUGUCACGUUAUAUUCUUUUUGUUUGUUAAAUGUUCUCUUCUUUUUGUCUCUAGUUCCCCUUCUCCUCUUCAAAUAUUUUAUAUUCGGCUUCAACAUAACUAAAGGACUUAAAACAGUUACGGUUUUUGCUCUAAUUUUCUUACAAAGUUUAAGUUUUGCCCUUUUUAAAAGAAAAAUAAAAGUAAUACCAUAAUUACUUUUAUUUUUUUUUGAAAGAAAAUUUUAAAAUUUUCAUAUUUGGUAAAAAUCUCUUUCUUGGAGGAAAGGUUUUGAAACUCUCUAAAUAGAAGACCCCCUUCUCAUACCAUAACCAAAUAGCAUCCACAACGUAGUUGUUUAAAAAUUUGGUUUAGGGGAUGAUUGAACCUUGUUGAGCAGGAAGUUUAUGUGUUCACCUUUUUGGAGUUUAUCAUAUCAUUCUGUUAAAUGUAACUAUUAAAUAUUUUUUUAGAAGCAUUCAUAUGGUGUUGUUCAUGGCUUUGUCGAAGUAUAAUACUCAGUUGAUAUCUUAGUUUUAAGAUUUAGAUACAAUACUCGUUUGACAUCUUAUAUGUUAGAUUGGAUUUUUAAAAAAAAAUUCUACUUUUAUCAUUACCUAAAGUUAUAAAUCGAAAAAAUCAAACAAAAUCGACAAGAACCAAAUUGACGGUUACUUUUUCAUUUGAUUUGGUUUUAGAAAUUUAAAAAACUAAGUUGGUUUGGUUUUGAUCAAUAACUAACCCAUGAACACCCCUACCUGCAGUAGGUACCCAACUUUCUCCACCGCCUCUACACUCCCUACUGAUUGUUGUUCCAGUUGUUGUUACUACUGCUGGAGUUGGUAGUAGGGUACUAGUAGUGGGUACCCAGCUGCCGCCGUCGCCCCCGCAGCAUUCACCACCGACUGCUGUUCCCGUUGCAGCUGCAGCUGAAGGAUAUCGUGAUAGGGUAGCUGCAUUAGAUACCUUGCCGCUGCCGCCCCCGCAACAUUCACCGCUGACUGCCGCUCCCCCUGUUUUUGGGGAUGGUAAUAGGGUACCUGCAUUGGGUACCCACCUUCGGCCGCUGCAUUCUCUGAUAAUUUUUUCAAUGUGUUCUCCAUUGCGCUUUUGACGAAUGGGAACAAAAAUGAGUUUAAAAAAUACAGAGAAUGAGAAAUGGUGUGUUGAGCUUCCGCUCAUACUCACUAUUUCUAACAAAUUGAAUUUAUACUUAGCGGAUAAACAGGGAGUGUGAGGUCCACCGUCAUCACUAAUGGACAAAACCUCAUUUCUCUGUAAGCGGUUGUGGAAUCUUGUGAGUAAAAAAAAUGCCUCAGCCACAUCCAUUUUUUGUGAUGAUAGAAAUCGGCAGCUUCUCAACAGCUAAAAUCAUGGAUUGAACUCAAAAGAAGGUUCAAUUCAACUGCGAUAAAGAGACGAUUCAAAUACAAUAACGUAAAUAUUGGGAACCAAAUAGUCUGUAAAGGCAAAAUAAUAGCUAAUAAGAUAAAUGUUGAACCGAAAGGCAUUAGCAUUUGAAAGCUUUGAGUAUAAAUGGUUUUAAUGAAAGUUUUAAAGUGGAGACGAUGAAAAUGAAAAUGGGUCGGAUGAAAAUGGAUGAGUUAGGUUGGUGUGCGUAUACGUAUGUAUGUUAGGUUGGGGUAGAAGAAUUAUAUUGUAAAAUUUUUUUAUUAUAAGAAGAAUAUAUUAAGAUUUAAAAAGAAAUAAUUAGUGAUGUAUUUUAUUCUUUCACUUUGAAUUUAUUUAUCAUAUUUUAAUCUGACAUAAUUAUUUAGUAAAUAAUUAUUUGUAUUGUGAAUUUGUCAUAUUAUUCCUAUUAAUUGAUAUUUAAAGGGUCUUUGAAUUAGUCUAUUUUAAAAUAUUUUGGUUUUUAAGUUUUUUUUUUUUUUUAAUGAUAUUUGGCAAAAACAGAAAGUGUUUUUACACAUUUAACAUUAAGCAAGUACAUACAAAUAAGAAAAAGCCAAAAGUGGUUGCUAUAUAGUUUUGGCUUUUAGUUUUAAGUAAAUUUAUUUGGCACGGAAAAAAAGACAUCUAUGACACUGUUUUUGUGGUAUUUUCAUAAUUAACCUGUCAACUAAGGGUGGAUUAGUAACUUCAUAAAUUUUUAUGACUCAAAGAUACCCUUUAAAUUUUAAAAUCACUUUACCGAAACAACAAACUACUCUCUCUCUCUCAUCUUCUUCUUCUUAUAAAAAAAAAUGUAUAUAUUCACGUAUACAUUAUUUAAGACUAGUUUUUUGACACGUGCUUUGCACGUAUAUGUCAAAUGCUGCAUUCUCUGAUGAUUUUUUCGAUGUGUUCUCCAUUGCGCUUUCGACGAAUGGACGACAAAAAUGAGGUUAACAAAACAGAGAGUGAGAAAUGGUGUUUUAAGCUUCCGCUAAUACUCACUAGUUCUAACAAAUUGAAUGUGUAUAUAUUAGCGGAUAAACAGGGAGGCUGAGGUCCACUAUCAUCACUAACAGACGGAACCUCAUUUGUUUGUAAGUGGUAGCCGGUGGAAUCGUUUGAGGGGAAAAUCGUCUUACACUCAUCGAUUUUUUUGUGCUAGUCGAAAAGGACAAACUUCUCAACAGCUAAAAAAACAUGAAUUGGAUUAAAAAACAGGUUCAAUUCAACCUGAUAAAAGAUAAUCGAAAUUCAAUAACGUAAAUGUUGAUAACCGAAUAGUCUAUAAAGGAAAAAUAACAACUAAUAAGAUAAAAUAUUGAACGGAAGGCAUUAGAAUUUGAAAGUUUUGAGUAUAAGAGGUUUUAAUGGAAGUUUUAAGAUGGAGAAGAUGGCAAUGAAAACAGGUCGGGAGAAAAUGGGUGAGUUGGGUUGGGUUGGGUGUGUAUACAUAUAUUUGUUGGGUUCGGUAGAAGAAUUAUAUUGGUGAAAAUUUUAAUCCAUCGAGUAUAUGUAUAAUUUAUACUCUCUCUCUCUCUCUCUCUCUCUCUCUCUCUCUCUAUAUAUAUAUAUAUAUAUAUAUAUAUAUAUAUAUAUAUUAUACUAUAUUAAAAGUGUGAAGACUUUUAUAAAAGUGAUUUGAACUUUUUACCCUUCACUAAAAGUUUCCGCAAUAGAUGAAAUUGUCUUUUCACUUAUAUCCUACAAUUAUUAUAUCAUUAUAUUUAUUAUAAAUAAAGAAAUCCUAAAUAUAUGGUAAGAAAAAAAUAUAUGGAAAUUUAUUAUUGUUGGAUUUUUUUUCUCUUUGUGUACUUGAGAAAGGAUUCCUAUAUACAAAAUAAGAGGGAAAAAAAAAGGAAAAUAAGAUGAUUUUUAUUAAUAUUAAAAUAAUAAAUUUAAUAGCAGCCUUUUUUAUAAAUUAAAACAAGAGAAAUAACUAAAGAACACGAUUUUUUUUGCUUCAAAUUUUGGUAGUAUUAGACAUCUAUUUUUUUUACAAAAUAAAAAGAAGUAUUAUUUUAAUAGUAUAUUAUUGUUCGGACGUGCAGGACAUCUGCUAUAUUAGGGAAUCUUUAUUAUUUUUAUAUUAUAUUAUUAUUAAAAAAAAUUAUGAGUGCACCCCGGAUGAAAAGCUUUCAUAUUUAGUUAAUCCUUUUUGGAUGAUGGUGGACUUCUACAAAUUGAGGACUCUUUCUUUCUAAAAUAAUAUAAAAGUAUUUACAAGGUAAAUAUUGGUGGAACAAAUAUUUUUAUAACUAGUUUUUCGAUGAGCUCUAAUGAUGUUGUCUAAUAAUCACAAAAGGUCAGACUUUGUUGUAUUGUUCUAAGAUUUUAAUUAUCAAUUGUUUUAUUGUAGUUUCUAUUCUAUUCAAGUUUAUUGUGUAGAUGGAUGUUUUGUCACAUCUUUGAAGAAUUUUUUGUGUUACGAUUACGUUUAAUCGUAUUGUUCUGAGCUCUCGAUCGUUGUAUAAUACACGUGGUAGAUGAACGUUCAGUCGGAUUUUGAGGAACUUUUUUACAAAGGUUACGGUUUAAUCGACUCAUUCAAUAUGUCAAGUAUCGUAUUAUUUUAUUGUAGUUUGCAGAUGGUAGAUUAAUGUUCAGUCGAGCUUUGAGAAAUUCUCAUGUAAAGGUUAGUUAAUCAUAUUACAGUAUAUUAUUUUUGUUAUCAUUCGUUAUCUAAUAGUUUAUGUCGUAGUAGACGAUCAAAAUACCAAUAUUUCAAGCAUGCCUCGAAGCAUAAAGUUGUCUAUCUUAAAUUUUUAAAGUCAAUAUAUAUAUAUAUAUAUAUACUAGUCAAGUAUACAUGUGUUGCACGCGUGUUUCAUGUUAAGCCCACGCGUGCAACACACGUAUACUUGACUAGUAUAUAUAAAAAAUGUCAUUCGUUAUCUAAUAGUUUAUGUCGUAGUAGACGAUCAAAAUACCAAUAUUUCAAGCAUGCCUCGAAGCAUAAAGUUGUCUAUCUUAAAUUUUUAAAGUCAAUAUAUAUAUAUAUAUAUACUAGUCAAGUAUACAUGUGUUGCACGCGUGUUUCAUGUUAAGCCCACGCGUGCAACACACGUAUACUUGACUAGUAUAUAUAAAAAAUGUGAAGGAUAUUACAACUAUUGUUUGAAUUUUUUGCCCUUCACUAAAAAUCUCUACUUUAGACAAAAUCAUAUUUAUCACUAUUUUUCUAAUACUGAAGAAUUGAAAGUUAAUCUAAUAUCUAUAGUAAAAUACUUCCUUGGAUAGCCCCGCCGCCGCUACCCCCGUAGCAUUCACCGCCGAUUGCUGCUCCUCCGGCUGUUGGAGAUGGUAAUGGAGUACCUGCAUUGGGUAUUCUCCUCCAACCGCUGCAUUCUCCGAUGACUUUUUUGAUGUGUUCUCCAUUGAGCUUUCGAUGAAUGGUGACAAAAUCGAGGUUAACAAACACAGAGAGUGAGAAAUAGGUGUGUUGAGCUUCCGCUCAUACUCACUAUUUGUAACAAACUCCAUUUGUACAUAUUAGCGAAUAAACGUGGGAGUGACAGGUCCACCAUCCUUAGUAGCGGACGGAACCUCAUUUCUUUGUAAGCGGUAGUCGGUGGAAUCAUCUGAGUAAAAAAAUGCCUCAGCCACGUCCAUUUUUUUGUGAUGGUCGAAAACGACAACUUCUCAACAGCCAAAAUCAUGAAUUGAACUCAAAAGUAGGUUCAAUUCAACUGUGAUAAAGAGAUGAUCCAACUACAAUAACAUAAAUGUUGAUAACCGAAUAGUCUGUAAAGGCAAAAUAACAGCUAAUAAUAUAAAAUGUUGAACGAAAGACAUUAGCAUUUGAAAGUUUUGAGUGUAAGUGGUUUUAAUGGAAGUUUUAAGGUGGAGACGAUUACAAUGAAAACGGGUCAGGUGAAAAUGAGUGAGUUGGGUUGGUGUGUGUAUACGUAUGUAUGUUGGGUUGGGGUAGAAGAAUUAUAUUGUAAUUUUUUUUAUUAGAAUAAAAAUAUAUUAUGAUUUAAAAAGAUAUAAUUAGUGAUGUGUUUUAUUCUUUCACUUUGAAUUUAUUUAUCAUAGUUUAAUCUGACAUAAUUAUUUAGUAAAUAAUUAUUUGUAUUAUGAAUUUGUCAUAUUAUUCCUAUUAAUUGAUGUUUAAAGGGUGUUUGAAUUAGUUUAUUUUAAAAUAUUUUGAUUUUUAAGUAUUUUUUUAUUUUUAAAGAUAUUUGUCAAAAACAAAAAGUGUUUUUACAAAUUUAACAUUAAGCAAGUACAUACAAAAAAGAAAAAGCCAAAAGUGGUUGCUAUAUAGUUUAGGCUUUUAGUUUUCAGUAAAUUUAUUUGGCAUGAAAAAAAGACAUCUAUGACACUGUUUUUGUGGUAUUUUCAUAAUUAACUUGUCAACUAAGGGUGGAUUAGUAACUUCAUAAAUUUUUAUGACUCAAAGAUACCCUUUAAAUUUUAAAAUCACUUUACCGAAACAACAAACUACUCUCUUCUCUUCCCCCCCNNNNNNNNNNNNNNCCCCCUCUUCCCCCCCCAAAAAACGUAAAUAUUAUUUAAGACUAGUUUUUUGACACGUGCUGUGCACGUAUAUGUCAAAUGCUGUAUUCUCCGAUGAUUUUUUCGAAGUGUUCUCCAUUGCGCCUUCGAUGAAUGGGCGACAAAAACGAGGUUAACAAUACAGAGAGUGAGAAAUGGUGUGUUGAGCUUCCACUCAUACUCACUAUUUCUGACAAAUUGAAUUUGUACAUAUUAGCGGAUUAAUGGGGGAGUGAGGUCCACCAUCAUCACUAACGGACGAAACCUCAUUUCUCUGUAAGCAGUAGCCAGUGGAAUCAUUUGAGGGGAAAAUCGUCUUACACUCAUCCAAUUUUUUGUGCUAGUCGAAAAGGACAAACUUCUCAGCAACUAAAAAAACAUGAAUUGGACUAAAAAACAAGUUCAAUUCAACCUGAUAAAGAGACGAUCCAAAUUCAAUAACGUAAAUGUUGAUCGCCGAAUAGUCUAUAAAGGCAAAAUAACAACGAAUAAGAUAAAAUGUUGAACGAAAGGUAUUAGCAUUUGAAAGUUUUGAGUGUAAGAGGUUUUAGUGGAAGUUUUAAGAUGGAGAAGAUGACAAUGAAAACAGGUCGGGAGAAAAUGGGUGGGUUGGGUUGGGGGUGUAUACAUAUGUGUGUUGGGUUCGGUAGAAGAAUUAUAUUGGUGAAAAUUUUAAUCCAUAGAGUACAUGUAUAAUUUAUACUCUCUCUCUCUCUCUAUGUCUCUCUCUCUCUCUCUCUCUCUAUAUAUAUAUAUAUAUAUAUAUAUAUAUAUAUAUUAUUAUUAUUAUUAAAGUGUGAAGUUCCUUAGAAAAGCGAUUUAAACUUUUUACCCUUCAUCAAAAGUCUCCGCAAUAGAUGAAAUUGUCUUUUCACUUAUACCCUACAAUUAUUAUAUCAUUAUAUUUAUAAUAAAUAAAGAAAUCCUAAAUAUAUGGUAAGAAAAAAAUAUAUGGAAAUCUAUUAUUGAUGGAUUUUUUUUCAUCUUUGUGUACUUGAGAAAGGAUUUCUAUAUACUAAAUAAGAGGGGAAAAAAGGUAAAUAAGAUGAUUUUUAUUAAUAUUAAAAUAACAAAUUUAAUAGCAGCCUUUUUUUAUAAAUUAAAACAAGAAAAGUAACUAAAGCACGCGAUUUUUUUGCUUCAAAUUUUGAUAGUAUUAGACAUCUAUUUUUUUUACAAAAUAAAAAGAAAUAUAAUUUUAAUAGUAUAUUAUUGGUCGGACGUGCAGGACACCAGCUAUAUUAGGGAAUCUUUAUUAUUUUUAUAUUAUAUUAUUAUUAGAAAUUUUUUAUGAGUGCACCCUGGAUGAAAAACUUUCCUAUUUAGUUAGUCCUUUUUGGACGAUGGUUUGGACUUAUAGUUAAUUCUUUUUAUAACUAGUUUUUUCGAUGAGUUUUAAAGAUAUUGUCUAAUAAUCACAAAAGGUCAGACUUUGUUAUAUUGUUCUAAUAUUUUAAUUAUCAAUUGUUUUGUUAUAAUUUCUAUUCUAUUCAAGUUUAUUGUGUAGAUGGAUAUUUCGUCACAUCUUUGAAGAAUUUUUUAUGUUAUGAUUAAAUUUAAUCUUUUAAAAAAGGAUAGUGGUUUAAUUUUUUGUGUCACAUCUUUUAAAAAGAAGUGCUAUGAAAAGAGAAACUAGAAGCAGUAAAAAAAGCAUCGUGGUUAAUGAAAGAAUGAAAUUGAAAAAAAAAUUAAAUGAUGACAAAUACUUGAAUAAAUACUUACUUACAGGUGCAAUCUCAAAGUCACACUGUAAGGAAUUAAUCAACUUUUUAAUUGAUUGACAUUAAUAAAUUUUAAAUUCUUGGCAAUGAAAAAAUCAAAAUUAAAAUUGCAAGUUCUUGCUUCCAUGGUAGAGGAAGAGGAGAAGGAAAAAAAUUAAAAUUAAAAUAAUAUGUGACUUGGUUUUGACGCGACAAUGAUGUGGCACUGACAGGGCACGUGUGUAAUACAUUUUUCAUAGUAAAUGGUAUUAUAUUUUAUGGGUGGUGUUUUAAUAUACCUUAAAAUUGUUUAGAGGGAUAUUUACAUGCAGGUUAAGUUAAAGUGCUAAAAUAAUUUUCGGUGACAAGUUCAGGGUAAGGGGUUGGGGAGGGGUAGGGGAGGGGGCGGGCGGUCACGCAUUUUCAUAGAGAAAUAUGUGUCAUAUAUCAAAAAGGUAUGUCAAGAAAUAAAUAUAAUUUUUUUAAAAAAAGAUACAUGGAUAAAUAGAAUUUUUUUUCUUUUUUUAAUUUCUCAUUCAGAUCUGAUGUCCGCAUUUGAGUACAAUUAAAUUUGAAUAUGCGUUGAAAAGUUCUACAUUAAGAGAUAAAACGCUCCAUAACAAAAAUCACUUCGUACACAAAGAAUGAAUUGUUUACUAUUUUUUAAAUAGAAGUGAUCAACAAAAUAGCUUCUCUAAAAAUGACUAUUUUUCAUUGUUUUUGGCCAAAAUUACUUGCAUCGACAUUCAUAUUUACUAAAUUAAAAUUAAUAAUGUCCUCUUUUUGUGGUUUGACAUAAAAUCACUUUUAAAAAAUAUUAGCCAAGAACAAAUUACUGACAUAAAUUAAUUCAAACAAUUUAGUGAAGCAUCAAUCACUAAUUCCUUUCUUAAAAAAUUUUCAUAAGUUAAUUUAAUUGUAUGGCAAAAGAAAUAAUUUAAUCAAAGCAUCAACCACUUACUUUCUUAAAAUAUUUUUUAUAAGUUAAUAUAAUUAUCUGGCAAAAUAAGUUACUAAGAUGUAUCGAACAUAUGAAACUUCUCCUGAUUUUUGUUUUCAAAUCUGUCCUUAGGAAUGACAGGAUCAAGUUGAAAAAAAAUUUCAAAAUUUUGAAUCUUUCUUAAAUAACUUGACUUUCUAUAUAAUCAUCAAUUGAUGUGGUGUAGUGGAUAGAGUUGCUCCUCCCUUAUUUAGAGGUCUUAAUUGUAAAUUCUAUAAAUAAACAAGGUCUUUGGUAGAAAGUGUUUUCCUCGAAUGACCUUUGUGUGGUGCAAAUCGAAUUAAUCUGACUCCAAUGCGAAUAUUAAACAUUAGAUAAAAAAUCAAAAAGAAAAUCGUCUCCUAUAUUUAUUACAACCAUACCAAUUAACAUGUUACUUGAAGAGAAUAAUAUUUUUUAGUUUGUUUAGAAAACAUACAAUUUCAUAUAAAAACAGACAAAAGAUUAUUACUAAAGAAAUAGGGGAUUGAGGUCCACUUCAAUAACAGACAAAAGGUUAUUGUUUGUAUUGAAGAGGUACGUAGACUCAUCUGAGAAAAAAAGAAUUUCAUCUUCAUCCAAAUUAACUUUAAAUUUUUGCACAACAAUCAUGUUUUUCUUAGCAUUUCAAUAAAAAAUUAAUGAAUCAGACUAAAAUAUCGGUUCAAUUCAACUGUAAUCGACAAAUGCAAGUAACCAAAAAAUCUAUAAAGACUAAACAUAGCUAAAAAAGUUAAAACAAGAAUUAUA